RNAcentral lists this long non-coding RNA (47916 nucleotides) under Fragaria vesca (wild strawberry). RNAcentral's name for it is "long non-coding RNA (FVES_LNC001320)". The stretch from base 42612 to 42806 matches the Rfam family "U2 spliceosomal RNA". Lineage: Eukaryota; Viridiplantae; Streptophyta; Magnoliopsida; Rosales; Rosaceae. The record is from RNAcentral.
CACACGAACAUAUGAAAAAGAUGGAAUUGUCAUAACUUUUGAGAGGAAGUAAAUGUAUCGUUUAUCAUGUAAAAAAUAGAGAGAAAGAAUAGAGAUAUUACGUCUCAGAAUUCCACCAGUGAACUUAUCAAACAAUGUUGCAUUGAAUAAUGAUUCUAGGGCUAUCUCAGCAACUUCUUCUUCGUUGGACUUACCAAACUCAUAUUUAGAAUAUCACACAUCGACUCAUGUUAGCAUAACAAAUUAAAACUAAUCACAUGAUAAGAGACUGAAGAAUGAAACUCAUUUAGAACUAGCUAGCUAGCACUUACCGAAGUCUCACAAUACUUUCGGCAUAUCGAGAACCAGAUCCCAUUGCUGCAAACCUGUUGUAGAUUUGUUCAUUCGUAACGCGUCCGUCUUUUAUGAAAAUACGAUACAGUUGAAGAUCCUGCAACCAACAAUUCAAGUAAAUUUAGCAUAUCAUAAAUAACUGAGAACAUUAUAAGCGAUAAUUUCAAUUUUUCUUACAUAUUUUUCAUCCCAUCCAGCCAAGAGUACCCCAAAUGCUUUGUCCUUCUUAAUCUUUUCAGGUAGACCACGUAAAUGAGCACACAUCUGUACUAAUGCAUAGUGAACAGAGUCACCAUUCUUCUUGGACUGCAUUACAUCAAACAAGUAAUUAAUUGUCGUUAGAGUACCAGUUAUUUUUCAUUUUCCAAAUUUAAGUAAAACUAUAUAUAUAUAUAUAUAUAUAUAUAUAUAGUAGGAGAUAUAUAUAUANNNNNNNNNNNNNNNNNNNNUAUUGCUGCAGAGAUUGGAGAAGGUGUGGCCGAAUCUGUGAAGGUUUGGAGUGAAGUGACUGCCAAUCUCCUCGGCCGUGGAUUGCUGCAGAGAUGCCAGAUCUGUGAAGGUUUUGAGUGAAGCGACGUUUAACUUUUACUAGGGGUAGUAAAUUUUAUUUUUUGCAUUUAAGUUGAUUUUUCUCCGUUUUAAUGUGUACUUAUGGCCUUGGAGAUAUUGUUUUGCAAGCUUACUACCCCCAGUAUAAGUUUACUGGGGGUAAUAAACUUUAUUUUUUUGCAAGUUUACUACCCCCAGUAAAAGUUUACUAGGGGUAGUAAAUUUUAUUUUUUGCAUCUAAAUUGAUUUUUCUCCGUUUAAAUAUGUACUUAUGGCCUUGGAGAUAUUGUUUUACAAGCUUACUACCUCCAAUAAACUUUAUUUUUUCGCAUCUAGGUUGUUCUUCCUUUGUUUUAGUGUGUAUUAUGGCAUUGAAAAUAUUUUUUUGCAAGUUUACUACCCCUAAUAAAAGUUUACUGGGGGUAGUAAACUUUAGUUUUUCGAAUCUAAAUUGUUCUUCCUCUGUUUUAGUAUGUAUUAUGGUCUUGAAAAUACUGUUUUGCAAGUUUACUACCCCCAGUAAAAGUUUACUAGGGGUAGUAAAUUUUUUUUUUUCACAUCUAAAUUGAUUUUUCUCCGUUUUAAUGUGUACUUAUAACCUUUGAGAUAUUAUUUUUCAAGAUUACUAUCCCCAGUAAGAUGUUUACUAGGGGUGGUAAACUUUAUUUUUUUGUAUAUAUGUUGAUUUUUUCUCUCCUUUAAGGUAUAUAAUGGUCAUAGGAAAACUAUAUUGCAAGUUUACUACCCCCAACAGAAGUUACUAAGGGUAGUAAACUUUAUUUUUCUGCAUCUAAGUUGAUUUUUUACUGUUUUAAGGUGUAUAAUGGUCAUGGAGAAACUUUAUUUUGAGUUUACUACCCCCAGUAUUUUUCGUACUUGGGUUAAGAUCACUUAAAUUCCUAUGGCAUUUAAAAAAAAUCCAGUGAGAUUUCCGGAAAAUUCCGGCCACUGGAUGCCGGCAAUUUUCCGGCAGUCGGAAAAUUCCGGUCACUGGUGACCGGAUUCUGGCUGCCGGAGUUCGGAGUCCGGCGACCGGAAUGUGGCCGCCAGUGACUGGCGCCGGAGCCCAGUGUGCUUCCGAUAAAGUCUUUCUUCCAUCUUUUUCACUUUUUCUCUUUAAGUAAAAGCUAAAGGUAAAAAAGUCUUUAAAAAUAUAAUUUUAUUAUAUUUUAAUAAAGAUUUGUGUAUUUGGGCUUAAAAUAAGUACCUUGUAUUUAAAUAGGCUAAUAAAAAAAUUAUCAUUGAAAUGGGGUUUGACUUUUUCUAUUUUGUGCAAAUUGUCUUUUCCCUUUUUUUUUUACCAUCAAAUUCGACAUUGUGCUGCAUUAAUUCUCCAAUUUCAUUCUCUGUAUUCUCAUUGGAUAGUGAAAGUAAAAGAGAAAACGAGCAGUAUGUACAACCCUAUAUAUGCGUUGUAGAGAAGGAAAUUAAAAAUAAAUCCAACAAAUAUGGAAAGAAAAUCUUUUACGGUCUUUACUUCAACAAUUAUGUUAGCAAGUUCGUUUUUUUUUUUUUUUUUUGUUUUUUUUUUUUGUGAGAACUUAUACGGUUUUUACCUUACAACACAUGGAUUUUUUUUUAAAACAAAUAAGGAAGGUCGUUUUACCUCACAACAUAAGGCAUACCCAACCGAACUUGCUAACACACGUAUAUAUAUAUAUAACAACCAUGCAUGCUUUAGUAUUUGCCGCACUCCCAAGCGCAAAUGCCAUGACGAUCUGGAAAACUAUAUGCAGCUACCUCGUGCAACCUUGCGCACUUCCAGCUAGGCUUUCGAUUGUUGUUUCAGGAUUCUUGAAAAUUAUCUGCAAUUUCUUUCGGCUGGUUCAUCUGCCUAGAGGAAAAACAGGUUUUAUUUUAUUUUGUUUUAUUACGUUCUCAUAAACCUUGACGCCAAACCACAAGUCCAAAAUCUAAAGCUCCAAAUUUUUCUUUCAAUGAUCAGAUGCAGCCUCCAUGAGUCCAGAUGAACAACUGGUGAAGCUCUGUGAUCCUCCAACAGAAGAAACGGUUGAAAUCCCCAUCGAACCCACUAACUCUGCCGGCGGUACGUAUGAUUUUUUUAUUUUUUUAUUAUUAUUAUUUUUUUAAGAUUUUUAUUUGGAAGACCUAGGAUCAGUUUGCCUGAGUUUUAAUGUUUUUGAUAGCUUUGUACUGCCAUACAUGUAAACUUAACCCUUUUCUUUUCUUUUGGUAUUUAACAACAGAAUUGCAAAUAGGUUGCGAGGCAGAAGAACCAAAGGCUUUCAGUUUCACGUAUCAUUGUAUGAUCUGCGAUGAUAAUUGUGAUCACACCACUGAAACGUGCCCUGACAGAAGUGGAAAAUUUAUAACAGUUGUACCGUUUGUGAUCACCUCCCAUGUAAAACGAGGCUGACCACAAGGNNNNNNNNNNNNNNNNNNNNUUUUUUUUUUUUUUUUUUUUGAAAAUGAUAACUUGUAUUACUUAAUUAAUGGCCAAAAGACACGUACAUCCAAAUGCCGUCCUCCACAGAGAGUAUGUUGAGGGAGGCUUACAAGCACCAAGACCUUUACUAAUUACACAUAGGCCCAAAAAGAGGCCGGAGCAAGAAAAAUUAAAACUUACUACCUAAGUCCCUGAAACAGAAUAUUAGAUGCCUAAGACCUCAACUGGUGUACACCUAAUAAGCUUAAGAAAUAAAUAGUAAAUCUACUUCUGAUGCUCGGGCUGAGGGCAGCCCGAAUUCUAAGUCUUGCCAUGCCCUUAACAUUAGGGCAAAACUCCUCACCAGCAUCUGCAAUCAGAAAAAGCAACCCAACUCCAGUAGUAGUUUCAAAUGAAUCCACCUUAUCGGGCCCAAACUCAAAUCCAUCUGACCCAAUACGAGGGAAUCCAAUUAUCAGGUCCAGCCACAUCUCUUCCACAAUCAAUCCUAGGUUAGGGUUUCCCGUCGUCAACGCUAGACCAACCUCUCCGACGGCUUCCACGGCCACCAUGAAAACUGUAGAGCACAACCUUGCUUGAAGGAUCACCAACCCAAUCUCUGACGAAGCCAUAAAGUUCUGCACCGAACUCACAGCCACUGCCAUGUAAACUCCAUCCGGGUCUUCAGCCUCCAUCGCCGCCAUAGUAUCAGGCCAACAAGUAGGUUCUUGAACUUUUGCAGACGAAACUCCGACGAAGGUCGCCAAAGGGAGUCCACUUGCAACACUCUCAAUCCCCAGAGAAUACCAUCGCAUGAACCUUGGCGUAGCCACCAUCUUGCAACUGCUGGAACGGCAAAGCACAAGGCCAGCCACCGGGUCUAGGUUUCGUAAGGCCAGGGUACUCCGAAAGAGACGGAGCAUAGGUCGUUUUUUUUUUUUUGUUUAUUGGUUAAAUCUUAUGUUGAUCAUACGUAGAAGUAAACAAAAUGAUAUCCAUAUUGGUGGGUGACAAAGGAAUCAUUACAUAAAUACAAGCAUCUUUCUAGCUAUAAAACCCAUCUAGAAUAGCCCGGGCACAUAUAAAGAAGGGCCAACUGUCGACACUGUGAUACAAAAACGGGAAAGAGGUCGUCAACAGCAUAUAUAAACAAAUUAAAAAUUUGUCAGAAAAAAUUAAUUCAAAAGGAAAAACCAAGCCUAGACCAAGAUGUAAGCCCAGCCCAAGCAGCAGCCUAAAGCACCAAAACCUCAGGACCACCCACAUGCCUGCCCAGGCCAAGGCCCAUUGGCCCCAGUUUACUCAGGGCACCCACCAGGUGGCCACCCCGAGCUGCAAAUCCACCUCCGCUUACAGUCCCAGACGUCGCCGCUCCAGAUUGCACCGCCACUGAAGGCGGCGCCCAGCCGCCUGCCUUAACCACGGUUCAUUAAUAGUUCAAUACAUAGUACUUAAUUUUAGCAAAAAGACAUUACAUUAUUGCAUAGCAUAUAUGACACUUCUCAACAUUAGAGUAGGACUACAACAUUUACUUGGAUAUCAUUUAUUGAGAACUAAUAAUAACGUCUAAUUCUUGGAUACAAGAUAAACUCUGGCCUUGAUAAUCGACCCACUGCCAAGCUUGAACCCUGGACUUAAGGGAACCCCAACAACUUGACCCGAAGGACCUUCCCCUGGUGAAGUGGAAUGAAGUGAAUGACUUUGAUGCCUCUUUCACUUGAUAUGAGAGCUGAAAAUCCAAAUCCAGACCCAAUAUGAGAUACUUGUUUCUCAUUAUUGGAUCGUUGGAUCAACAGUGAUUAAAUCCAAAAUGACAUUGUAGAAUGAGUAUCAUGAGCAUGACUACAAAGAUUCAGAUAAUCAGAAUUUAUGUUUGUGUAAUAGCAACUACAGAAAAAAGAGAAACACGUCUUUCAUUUUAUAUUACACUGCUGAACAUUUAUUGGAGUAGGAGUGUAGGACUAAAUUCUAGCAACAUUAGGGCUACACUGUGUUUCCUUGUAUGUUAAAAAGCUCUAAUCCCUGGAAACUAGGUAAACCCUGGCCUUGAUAAUAGACCCAUUUCCGAGCUUGAACCCAGGAGUUACAGGAAAUCCGACAACCUGAUUAGAAGGAACCCGUACACCUGGAAACUUGACAACACUCUCCAUGUAGUGUGGAUGAAACUCUGCACCUCUAGUAGCCUCAAAUUGACUAGGUGUUGGGUCAAGAGAGAAGGCCAGCAAGUGCAGUAACCAGACUGCUUUAGCCAUCCCUAAGAACUGGCUGUAAAACUCACUCCUGGGGUGGUUUCCAUCUAAGACCUGGCGUCGCUGAUCCAAGUCUCCGAACAAGGACUCUUCCAUCUUGGGAUGAACUAUGGCCAAGUACUUGUUUGAGCAGAACUUGCCGAAGUGACAUGUGGGCAAGAUUCCAAGAAGCUCUGCCGGAUCCAUGGCCUUCAUAUCACGGUAUUGAGUGAAGCAAUCUCGACGGUACUGAUCCGGAUUGAGAAGCGAGGAGAGGCUACCGUCCAUGUAGAAUGUCUCGUGAUCAAAGCCUUGGAACAUUUUGCUGGAAAUGUAGGACUGGAGAGCAUACUUGGCAUUGCCAUUCUGCGUUGUUGUGACAAGGGAGGAUGUGUUAAUAGAUGUUGCAGUAAUGGCAGUGACAGUGGCAGCUUCAAUGGAACGCACAGCUGCGGCAAUGUCCCAAUGUGCAGCACGCAUGAGAGAAAGGAGCAAUGAAGUGAAGGACUUUGAUGCCUCUUUCACUUGGCUCAUUGUUGCCACAAACAGAUCUGGUGCUGGAGCAGCUACAACUGUAAUCACAAGUCCAUCACAAAGCUGCAAUUAUAAUUUCCCAAUACAACCAUAAAGUUAUGACAGGGUUUUACUAUUUAGUACCUUGAAGCUGACUGCAACCUACCUUCCUCCUCGAGAUAGAUCUGCCCUUCUUGCCAUUAUUCCCAUUGGAGCCAUUAACAACACUACUCAGCUUUUCCUUUAGGUUAUCAACCUCCACUUCCUUAGCCUUCACCUCCUUCUUCAGCUCCUCAACCGCUGCCUCAUAUGGAGCCACCACCUCCCUCAGCGUACCCCCCACCACUGCUCCUCCACCUCUACGACCUCCACCGCUAGAACAUCUCCUCCUAAACCUCUCCCUCAACACUCCAAGCUUCCUAAGCUCCCCCACCACUGCCACAUCAGCUGCCCUCAUCUUCUCUGGGUCCCACGGGCUAUGCGCCAUCUGCAGGCCGGCGUAGGCCUUCUUCAUUGCCGAAACUGCAUCAAACACUUCCCACAUUGCCAUCUCCAUCUCCAUUACCUCCUUCCUUGAUCCCUCCUCCCGGACCCUAAUCCCUCCUCCACCACCAUUCUCCUCCUCUUCUCUCACUUCCUCUUCCGGCUCAUCCAACUCAAGCUCACUGAAAUCAUCCUCGUCUCCAGCACCAUUCGCUGCAAAUUCACCAUUCCGGCCGGCGCCAAGUGGGUGCAGCAAGCAAGAAGCCGCCACCCUCUGAACCAAAUCCGAGAAAUUUGAAACCUUUGCCGCCAUUUCCCUCUUUCUUCCUCACCUUGACCUCUACUUUUCUGAAUCAACAGUAUCCACAAACAGAUAGAUGAAUCAGAUUCACAUUUUCUCAAAGACCACAAUGGGCAUGAUAAGGGAAUGCCAGGACAGCUUAAGAUAGCCAAAACCAAGUAACCCCAUUUCAACAAGUAAUCAGCGAGCAGCAACUAACUAAAUAAUUAACUAAAAACAAUAAAUGAAGCUCAAUGAUUGACAUCUCUGGUGUUCUUCUUCUAAACCAAAGAAGAUGAAGAAGAUAAGUUGUGGGUACAAUGCCAUUUGACCAUUUCUAUGAAAAAAACAGAACAAAUAUUCACAGGAGACCCGAAACCCUGAAUCAAACACUAAACUCAGAAGAGCUUAAUUGAUAAAUCAAACAAUUGAAACUUGUCGCCCAACAUUAAUCUAGGUUGAAACGAAUGCAGAAACAGUAUCAGAAUUGGCAUUUUUUAGUAUUGGAAGCAAAGUUGAUGUCUUUACCUGGUUAAUAUGUCGUCGUCGGAUUAGAGUUACUGGGACGGUGCUGACUGCUGAGCUAGCUGAACUGAUAACUGAACAAGAAUGAAGACUGAGCGACUGACUGAGAGUCAAAGAGUUGAGAUGCUGGGCUGGAAAGCCCAUCACUAUUAUCUAGAAAAUGAAUUUCCAUGACUAAUUAAAUAAAAUUGUAAUUGAAGAAUGAUUUACACUUUAAUUUUGUCAAAACCUCAAUAUCAAACAAAAAAACAAAAAAAAUGCUGGUAGAAAUCGUAGGAUUAGUCACAGGAGAUCAAGGAAAAGGAGAGUAUAAACGGAGAUCCCUAUACCAAUUUGGAGAAGUAUGAUAUAUAUAGUUACUCUUUUUUAUAGUAGAAAAUACAAGAUAGUAUAGACGAAGAAAUGAAAACUUAGACCAUAUUUGUGUCCUCUUCUAAUUAACACUACUAAUUGGGAAGACAUGUAUUUCCUUAUAAAAUGCUUGUAGAUACCUUAUAUUUUGCGUCCCAUCUCUCGUAUUUAUAAAAGCAAAACUAAAAAACCUCAAAAUAUGCCACUGUAUGUGGAGAAGAUUUGUUAUCACAUAUAAUAAUAUCAAAUUCUAGCUCUUGGACUCUCAAUUUGAAGAUAAAUAUCUACUAUUUAGAGAUAAGUUAUCAAACAAGUUUACAUGUAACUAAGUUUAAUAUUGAGAUGUAAGACUUUUAAUUCUUAAACACUCACUCAAAUUCUACGUCUUCACUCUUUUUUUUCAUUGGUUUUUCUUUCUUUUGUCAUAUAUCCCAACUCCUGUUGACAAUUUGAUGACAGUUGUGCACCAAUUUACUGCUUUCUUUUAAAAAAAAUAUCAUCUCAAUUGAUGGACAACUGAAACAAGGGACCUCAAAUUUGAAAGCUACAGAAGAGAAAAAUGAAAUACCACACUUGAAUUUGCCACCUAACAACUGCCAUAUAGGAGAGACUAAAUGGAUAAGAUCAGAGUCACUUGGAUAUUUUCUCUUGAGAAAGUUGGAUACUAUCUGACUUUUUGGAUCACAAAAUUCCUACCACACCAAGUCCUCAAGACAAUAAUGCAAGCAACAAAUAUCUGCCUACUACCAAACCACCAUUUGUAUCCAUUUCUCAUAUAAACCCCAAAAUUUUGUGGGAAUAGAAACAAAGGAGUGACCAGGAGAAACUUUACAGGAGAGAACAAUGGAGUGUUGUGGCAGGCCUAACAGGAGUGACAUUCAUUUGUCAAGAGAAGAGGAGGCAAAGAUCGAGUCCGAUACAAGAGAAUACUUCGAUGGAGUAACGCCUAAGCGUCACUUGAAGCCUCAACGCAGCGAAUAUGAAUCUCAAUAUGUCGAUGUUAUCUCUAAACAAGAAUCCAUUCCUGAACUCGCUGAGUUCCAACGACUUGAGCAUGAUUCACAGGUUUGGUUUUCUUUCAUUCCUCAUGUACAUAAUCUGUUCCAAAAUUAAAUUAAGAAAGAAAAAAAUAAAAAGACUUGCGUCUGCCGGGAGUCGAACCCGGGUCUAUUGCUUGGAAGGCAAUUAUCCUAACCGUUGGACUACAAACGGUUGUUUGUUGAAUUUGGCAAUUAACAUAAUUUUAUUUGCUUUUUAUUUUGAGUUUUUGAAGCAGAAAUUGGUUGUGAACGGAAGUGAGGUGAGUGAGGAAUUUGUGGAGACAGAUUACUACAAGGACCUGAACGGCAUAGACAAGCAACACCACACGACAGGGACAGGGUUUAUCAAGGUAAAAAACCCUAGUGACAGAGGUUACCGCCUUGAACCCGAUUCCGACACCAGCAUUCAUGCCUCUUGCCAGUGCAACCCAGCAACUAAUGACUGGGUACCAGAUGCUGCUAAUGCAGUAAGUUAACCACCCACAUUUCCAUUAUGCAGAUCAGUCUCGUUCCGGUUAUGUGAACUGAACCUAUGCGACUGCUUUCUUGUUUUAGGAACCUCAUGCUUCAGGCAAGCCAGGCAGAAGUGACAACUAGGGUGGAAUGUGGAUCUCCAUUACCUAUCUUGAGCGAAAUGCUAAGGGCGCAUAACUCUCUGCAUUUGUGACUUUGUGGUUUGUACACGCAUUGAUGUGGCCAAUAAGUUUAUGUUUAAUCACCUGUGUGCCUUGAGUUGAUGAGAGUACGUAAUAAAUAGAGCUUUGUACGCUUCUUCUAGUUACAAGAGGAGGUUUGAAUCUUCGUUUUUAUGAAACAAUCAAGAGCUUCUGAGUUUGUCCGAAGAAAAAGAGCUGCUGAAUCUAUUCCAUAUCAAAAGUUACUUCAGAUCCACUACUAUUUUUCCCUUGAUUCUCUCAUGAGUUGUAAUUAUCGUAAAAUUACGUCAAAAACCUACCAAGAGAACAUUGCUUGGUGUACAACUUAAAUGGCUAAAUAAUAACCACCAGGAGAACAGAACAAUGAUGAGAAAAUUGCAGAAUAAUGCAUUUGAACCAUAAAUGCACGUCAAGACUCGAGGCAGAUUAAAACUGUCAGCUUGUUUGCAGCUGAACAGUUUCCUGAAUCUCAACUAAAAUGGCAAAAUAUUCCUGCCGUAUCUUACAAAAUCUACAUUUGCUAUGCGAAAAUUUUUCACAUAAGGGUAGGAAUCACUAAUCUACAACAAGGUAUGGCUCAUUUCCAGAUCCUUCUAUUUGGUACUUACAAGGACGAACUGGAGAGUUGUACCUUCAAGGAAGCAGUUAUACUCCUGUGACAUACAAGCUAGCUGCAAAAACAAUGUCACGUUUUAUUGCAUUUGAAGCUGUCUCCAUCUUCUUGUAUAGAGCAGAAUUACCCAUAAUAGAUGCAGCAUUUUUAAAUUCACGACAUGUCUCAUCAAGUCUAACAAUGGUGCGAACUAUCAUGCCUUCAGGAACAUCGGUAAGUUCACAAAUAUCUGCAAAUGGUGUGCCCUGCAGAUAAUAAGGACAUGUAAGAUAGACUGCUCCAGACAAGUCAAAGGAAUCGUUGAUAAAAUUCUAAGGUCAAACAGUCAAAACCUUUGCCCACUCAUAAACGACUUCAACAAGACCAAACUUGAGAUUCUCUCUGGCGUACUCCUCCGGAUUUAUUGGAAGUUUGAAGUAAGCUUGAAGCUCGCCUAGUCUUAUUGCUGUGUCGUACAGUCUGAAAAGAACAAACGUCGAAUCAGUUCUAACGCUCACUACAUCAGUCUUAUUUUUUUACUCUGUCAUUUUUUUUUUUUUAUAAAACAGUUUGGUAUGAGUUUAAAAUGAAGUAGGAUAAUGCAGAACAGAUCAUUUUAAUAACAAAUAUGCCAUGUAAGUCAGUAACAUUUUGAUUUUGAAUACUGAAGUCAGAUCUUCAUAAACACCUUAUUCAUUGCAAUGCUAAGAUCAAAGGCAGCACUUAAAAAACAUGGGUAAAUCUAGUGGCAAAUGUAGCUUCUAAAUGCAAGCAUACAGUAAUACAGCCUAAAUACUAUGCAUAUAUCUUGUAUUCAAGAUCUGAGCCUGGAAGUCUUAUGGCACAGAUGAAAAAUUAAUAUGCAAAAGAUGGAGAAUGACCUCUCUUUCGCCAUAGAAAGUUUAGGAGUAAGCGAAGGUUCAGAAGUAUUCUUCUGCUGAAAAACAAAAGAUGACAUUAAUGCCACCGCUUCUUCUGGUUCCAGGUCAUCUAGUUGGUUCUCAAACAAACACUCCGUGCAUAUCAACUCCUCCCCAGAAUUCAUUUCGCAUGCGACACGGCCUUUUAUUUGAACAACAAGGUCAGCAUCUAUACAUCCGAUUUCCUUCAGAACAUCUAUCUGAAAUUAAAAAAAAUAAAAUAUCAGUGGGACCCCAUACAACUGUAGAGACAUUCUAUACAAGCCAAAGCAACAAAGAAAGAAAUAUGUGAAUCAUGAAAAUAUACCCGGCCUUGAAAAUCGGGCAUCUGUUGAAGUGAUUCGUCUGACAUUUGAUACUUAAGAGCAUUAACUUCCUCGCUGUGUCUUUUUAUCUCUCUUGCUAACUUGAUGUGUUCCUCCAAUUUAAUACAUCCAUGGCACUUAUUCUUUGCCAUCUUCUGCAAUAAGUUAGUCCACUUGUAGUAUGUUUCCACAAGAUGCAUGUCUUUCAACUUCAGAUCUGAACCAGGAUCACCACUAUGAAGGUCAGAUUUAAGAAAGAGUUGACUCUAACAAAUUCUCAAAUUAUCUAAGUCUUCUGCACAUUAUUUUUUUUUCUUUCAACAACAGAACUAAUAAACCUGAAGAAGUAAUAUAACAGAAAAGAAUAAGUAAACAUGAAAUCAAGAUGUGGAUAGUUCAGAAUAUAGAUUUCCGAGGACAUAAAAAAUCUUAAGAAGAGGCCAUGCACAGCUUUACAAUAUUAUAUAGGUGCAUAUAUAUAUACAGGCCGGAUGUGAAGCGGACCAUCCGCGCUCGGCUUAAAGUGCGGACGUCCGUCCGUUCUCCACCCUCCAGGGCCGGCGACGGCACGCCUCCACCCCAGAAGACUCUAGCAGCGUCCCCGACCACUUUCCCUCCCCGGCGAGUCCAUUCUUUUCCGGCGAGAUCACCCAAAACCUCAAACAAAGUCGAUCUCGCUGGAAACUGGAAAAAAACAGACUCGCCGAGGAGGGGAAGUGGUCGGGGACGCUGCUGGAGUCUUCUGGGGUGGAGGCGCGCCGUCGCCCGGAGGGUGGAGAACGGACGGACGUCCGCUCUACAUCCUCUCUGUAUAUAUAUAUAUACACUGUUUCUGGUGCGGACGUCCGUACGGGUUUUCCGUACGGAUUUCCGCCGUUUCUCCACCAUUCCAGCGCCGGCGACGCCGUUUCUUCUCCCCGGUGUGAUCACAGACCUCCCCCGACGGUGUUGGAAUGAAGAAGAAGGCCGGAGAGAUCGUGAUCGGAGGUCUAUGCAGCAAUCUCACUCAGAACUUCACGACCAAUCAUGGUGGACCUCCGAUCGCGAUCUCUCCGGCCUUCUCAUUCUAACACUGUCGGGGGAGGUCUGAGAUCAAGCAGGGGAGAAGAAACGGUGUUGCCGGCGCUGGGAUGGUGGAGAAACGGUGGAAAUCCAUACGGCCGUCCGCACCUGAUAAUCCUUGUAUAUAUAUGUAUAUACAAUGCUGAUCAGGUGCAGACGUCCGCACCAAAGUUUUGGUGCGGAUUUCCAUUUUUGCACCACUUCCCGAUCGAAUUUCCUCAAACUUCCUUACAUAUCUAGAUCAUCUUGUGUAGAUCAUCUCUGCAAAAUUUCAGCCAAUUUAAUGAUCGUUAAGGCCCUCAAAAUCGAAUAACAAAUCGACGGCCUGUAUUCUGUCCGGUUCAGGUACAUAACAGAAAAACGCAAGUUUGAGGGCCUUAACGAUCACCAAAUUGGCUGAAAUUUUACAGAGAUGAUCUAGAUAUGUCUAGAAGGAAGUUUGAGGAAAUUCGAUCAGGAAGUGGUGCAAAAAAUGGAAAUCCGCACUUUGGUGCGGACGUCCGCACCUGAUCAGCUGUGUAUAUAUAUACAUAUAAUAUCCCCUUCCAGAGUGGGAUCCCACUUUGAAACUAAAGUGCGGGACUCCUUAUUUCGCUCACUUUCAGGUCGUAUUUCCACAUCUCAACCGUACAAUGUCUAAAACACAGUGUGUAGAUCAUUCCUGCAAAUUUUCAUCAAAUUUGAAAAUCAUUUGAGUUUCCGUAAUCGUGAUUUACACGAACGGUUCUGUUUGGACAACUUUUGUUUUGUUGAUUUAUUUAAUCUAAUUCGGUACCAAAUGAUCUUCAAAUUUGAUAAAAAUUUGCAGGAAUGAUCUACACGCUGUGUUUUAGACAUUGUACGGUUGAGAUGUGAAAAUACGACUUGAAAGUGAGCGAAAUAAGGAGUCCUGCACUUUAAUUUCAAAGCGGAAUCCCACUCUAGAAGGAGACUAUAUAUAUAUAUAUAUAUAGAGGCCGGAUUAGGAGCGGACGUCCUCACCGGCCUUAAAGUGCGGACGUUCUCCACCCUCCGGCGUCGGCGACGGCGCGCCUCCACCCCAGAAGACUCCAGCAGCGUCCCCAACCACUUUCCCUCCCCAGCAAGUUCGUUCUUUUCCAGUUUUCCGGCGAGAUCAUCCAAAACUUCAAACAAAGUCGAUCUCGCCGGAAAGCUGGAAAAAAACAGACUCGCCGGGGAGAGAAAAUGGUUGGGGACGCUGUUGGAGCCUUUUGGGGUGGAGGUGCGCCGUCACCGGUGCCGGAGGGUGGAGAACGGACGGACGUCCGCACUUUAAGCCGAGUGCAGACGUCCGCUUCUGAUCCUCAUUCUAUAUAUAUAUAUAUAUAUAUAUAUCUAGUAAUAAUCUUAUUAGAAACAAAACUUUCAAUAAUGAAACAAAAGGAGUACAACUGUGUAUACUUUUUAUGUAGCGAUACGUUAGUAUAAGUCAAUAAGACUUGCUUUCCCACACAAUAAUUUGCCAUAUAAGUUGUGAAAAUAGAUAUACCUUUCAAUGGAUCCAAUGCUGGAGGGUACUUAUUUCCCUCAGAUUUUUUUUCCAACAGCUGUUGCACCGUCUUGGAGUAAGCAGCACUACUACUGUCCUCAAGAAGCCGAACUUGGUCAAUCUUUAUUUUGCAUGCGCAUAUGUAUAAGAAGUCUGUGUUAUCGGCUCCUCUAACCUCGUAUCUCACCCCAGCAGCUGCACCCUGGUGUGGUAAUUUUAUGUUGAUGGCACCUGAUCCUUUGCGAGAAGAAACAGAGGUACAAUACUCUUCUUCAAGAGCACGUUUAGAUUUAGCUACCAUGUAGAAACCCUGAGAAGAAUCAGUGUUUUUGGUAUCUUGUAAGCUACCACUAGCCAGGGGAGUUUGGAUUGUCGCUGGUAGUUCAGGUUUCAGCACUAAAACAAUGUGCUGCUUAUUACUAGAAGAAGGUGCUUUCACAACAACUCCAAGCAAGUGAUCCUGGGCCUGUUGGUAUAGCAUCCAGAAAGUUUUAACUCACCCAUAACUACUCAACAAAAAACCAGAUAAAAGCCUCUUAGACAAAAUGGAGUUUACAUGUAUAUUCAAACAGUGAAGUGUGAACACAAUAACAGUACGACGUACUUAAAAGCUAACAACGGACAUAUGAUGCUAUGUGAGGACUAGAAACAUUCUUCUGCUUUGAAUCUCUUUGGACCUCUUGUCCACUUUUAGUCUAGCAUUCCCUUUUAACUUCAUUUUCAAGAGCAGAAGCAAGGAUGAGAUGGCAAAGCCUCAAAUGCAACAUUCCUAUUGACCCUGGAAGGCUGGAACUCAUUGAAUUUUUUCAUUUAUUGUUAUCAUUAAUUUUCAAAGUCAUAUUGUCAAGUUAUUGAAAUUUUACCAACUAAUUUUUCUUUUAGGCUGAAGAUAUAGAACCUUAGACAUAUGAACACUCAUGCUUUAAUACAUAAAACUUCAAACUCUUUCAGUUUAUGAAAUCUCCUCUAUGACUCCCCUUAGAUACAUAAAACUUCAAACUCUUUCAGUUCAUGUAAAUCUCCUCCAUGAUAUCUCCCACCCUUAUGCAUACAAAUGACAGUGAAAAAUCAAGCUUUGGCCAAGUUUAACGGAUAUAUAGAUCUUUUAAAGUUAUGGUUAAAUUUUUAAGUUAUAAUAAUAAAGUCUACAAGUAUUCUUCAAAUCACAACAUCAGACAAUAAACAUGUUUUUCUUCUAAUCUUAGUUUUGAUAGGUACUCAGAUGUCAGAGGUCAGCCUAUUAGUAUCUUUAUGUUUCCCAUGCGGGAAAAGACCACAAAAAUCAUGCAGGAAUUAACAUUUACAACAGCUUUGACACUGGAUGUUAGGUAGAUGCCUUACUACAAUUAUUAAUACUCCAACGAGUACAACAGAAAUUGGAUCCGAGAGGAGGAAAAGGAAGGAAAUCUUAACAACUAAACAAAUAAUUAAGGACUCACUGAUUGUGAUUUCAUGACGACCACUCUUCCAGGAGUAAGAAAUUGUUGGGCAACAGAGGACUGCAUUACUGCCUCCAAUAUUUCUGUGCUAUGCUUCUGCGCUUCUGAGUACAUGUCAUAAUACUCCUCAAUAGCUGGUUCCCCUUUGAUACAUCUACAUGCAAGUACCCAUGUUUCGUGAACCAUCAUAAGACAAAAUAUAUGAUAAGAACUUUUGCUAUUAAUUCGUCUAAGAGCAAUCAACUAACCUUAAACAUAGGGAACCCACCCCUUUAUCAACUAACCUUAAACAAAGGGAACCCAUCGACAAUUGUUGGCAACCAAAAAGGAGAAAGAAAAAAAUUGUUUCUAUUACUGACAAAAGCCUAAUAUGCUAUGACAUGUUCACAAGUGGUACAAGUGCAACUUGUAUUGUUUAAUACGCAUACUAAGAGCACAAAUAAUUUCACUAGCAAACAUUAAAAUCAGCAGAAUUCCAACCACAAACAUGGCUCAUUUUCUUUUAAACCUUGCAUACCUGACAAAACUAUGCCACAUUUCACAAGUUACGAAUAGACUGAGUGCAACAAGCAUAAAUAUCAACUAAGAAAAAACAAAUCAGUGGGCUGUACUGAAUCCUACAUAUAGAGUGUACAAUACAAGACAGAUCAGUAUAAUCAAGACUAAUGAGAACCUACUCGAUACUUUUUGUAGGCUGAGCAAGUUUUCGCAUCAGAAGUUGCUGCAUAUCAGGUAGUUUCUUCUGAGCAUGGAACUCAGCGAAACUUCUUUUCAGCAUGUCCUCCACCUGCGGUGAUGGUCUCAAUCAAUAUUAGUACAUGUAAUGGCCCUCGCAGCAAUGAACACAAGAAGGCCAUUGCAUGUAUAAGUUGAGCAAUGUCUAAGGGGUCUUUAUCCUGGAAAAUUCUACAAUGUGUUAAUGCAUGUGAAUGAUGUGAUGCAUCACCUUUGUAAAUUGAGUCCUCAAACUAGUAAUAUUAGUCCUCGAAGUUGUAAUAUGAGUUCUUCAAGUUGUAAAAUUUUCUAGUUACAACAUUAGUCAUCAUGUGUCCUUAAAGUGGUAAAAUGUGUGCUUAAAGUGGUAAUUGAGUCAUCAAAGUGAUUAAAAAAAAGUUGUUACAACUUUUAGGACUCAUAAUACAACUUUGAGGACUCAAUUACCACUUUAACGACAAAUGAGGACUAAUGUUGUAACUAAUUUUUUUUUACAACUUUAAGGACUCAUAUUACAAGUUUAACAACACGAUUACUACUUUGAGGACUUAUUUUACAACUUGAGGACAAAGUUGAUGCAUCACAUGCAUUAACACACUCUAGCCUUACCCCUUUAUUCUUUCCUAGUGAACUCAAUGGAAGGUCUUUAUUCAUCCUAGUGAUUCUCAAAAGAGUAUUAAUCCACCCCAGAAAGAAUGUACUUACGGUAUACUAUUACGGAAAGUUUUUGGGACCUUAUAUAUACUGAAAGAAUGUACUUCUAUUGCCCCCAUAAAGCUAUAGAAGUCAAAGAGUAUUCCUGUAUUUAUCAAAACUUCAAAAGCUAUAUAUACAUCAUUGACAUGGGCUUUACUUUCAGAAAUUAGCUUCUUCAAUCUGGAAUGGGAUUAGAAAUGGAAUCUGAGGCCCUGUUUCCUUUCCCCUACAUGUAUCAAUGAGACUGACAUGAAUUAAUAAGUACCUUUAGUUCUUCAACACGAAGAAGAUGCAUGAUCAUAAUAUAAGUAAGCCGAAACUGAGAUUCUAGCCUGGUUGCACUUCCAACUAUGACAUGCGUCAAAUCCCUCUCUUCUAGGAUUUCAUCACGGCACAUUACAAUCACUGUACCAAUUUUAUCAAGUCCUCUCCUGCCAGCACGGCCUGCCAUUUGAGUGUAUUCUCCUGGUAGUAGUUGUCUGAAUUCCUUGCCAUCAAAUUUCCUUAAUGUAUCAAAAACAACCUGUGCAAAAUCUUGACACAGGUUAGAGUUCAAGAUAAUAAUGUCAUAUCUACAACUGAUACACAGCAGAUAGGAAGAUGCACUGUCACUAACCCAUCUGUCCAUUUUAGAGAUUUAAUAACCAGGGCGCAAAAGCAGGAUCCUUUUCCACUAAUUCCUGAUAUCUAAUUUCUUCAUAUUAAUGCGUUGUUCAACACAGACUAACAGAAACUAGAAGUGUCUUUGCAAAAUAUUAUUGUACAUUUAGGUGCCAGUGUGCCACAGACCAUGUUCCUUUUCAUUGUUAUAUACAAUUGACAUCAUAUUUAACCACUUCAACCGAUAGGAUUAUUCCGUAAGAUUGAUCAAUGAACUUAGCACUCAAAGAGAUGCAAGAACACAGAAACACCCCAGGUUGAAGAUGUUUCUUGUUUGGACAAGUAGUUAUUUACCAAGGAAGUGAAGGAAGCACCCCAAAAAUCUUGAUAGGGCAGUGGAAAAUAUACUUACAAUUACUCUGUUUAUAAUAGUUCCUAACACAACUCACCGUUCUCGCUGGUGCAUUAACUCCCAUUGCAAAUGUCUCUGUCGAAAAUAGAACCUACCAAGGAAUUAAAGGAAGGUUACAAAACGAAAAUCACCAAAGUAACUCAAAUUCAAUUAGAUGUAGAAAUACAACAGAGGAGACUCAAAACUAAUGGUCACUGAUAUACAGUUAGCCGAAACAUCAUCAAGGUAUCCAGAGAAUCAUUUUAAAUAACACAACAUCAAUCUCAUGAAACAAAUAAAAUCCAGAACAGACAUCCACCUUUAUCACACCACGACAAAAGAGCAUUUCAACAACUUCCUUAACAAUUGGAAGAAGUCCUGCAUGAUGGACACCAAUCCCUCUAUGGAGAAGAUUUUGAACUCUGACAACCUGCAUUUGAGAACCUAUCAUGUCUGAAAACCAAGGUUUAAUAUUUAAUUAAGAUGAAAUGGUAAGCAACUGGACCUGAGGUAAAUUCCUGUCAGAUCCCUUCAGCCGUGAAAAUGCUUUGUCACAGAAAACACGAAUCUGACUUUUCUCAGAACUACUUGUGAGGUCAAUUCCCAACAUGCUAUCAGCUGACCUAUCACAGCGAUUCUUUGAGAAACAAAAUAUAACCACCUGUGGAGACAAGUCAAGGCAUAAGAUUACAGAAAUAAUAGACAAGAGUGCAGGCAUCAACAAGCUCAAUUCCUAAAUAUAGCAAUCCAAAAUUUGCAUAAAUUAAACAAAAGUCAUGUAGAUACUUGAGCUAAAAACAUGGAAGGAAGCAUAGUUUUCUCCUCUGCUAAAUAUAAACAUGCAAAUUCCAUUUGGCAUUGCCUUCGUUUUUCUCAUUAUUCUCUAUUUCAGUAGAGCAAGCGGACUUUUUCUUUUCUUUUCUUUUCAUGUCUAUUUAGUUUCAGAAAAGAGGAAACAAUAAUCAAGUAGGCAUGCCUCCAGUGGACAUCUGCAAUAUUUAAAAUGCAGACACCAACCCUGAAAAGUGAUUAAAUGAUACGGACCAGUCAUUCUUUAGGUCCUUGGCAAGGAUUUUCCUUGCAAAGAAUCAGCCAACGCACACAGUUUGGUCUACAACAUGUUGAACAAAAUGAAAAUGACAAUGAUGGUAAGCGAAUGCCUAAAUGACUCUUGAUUUUGGCUGAUUUAUGGCAGAUGUGUCCUCGAGAGAGGACUUGGAAGAAAGAUAGUUCUGAUCAUUUGAUUGCAUCGGGGGCUGAUGACUGCAUUUUCAAAAAUUUUAUGGACAUCCACUCUUCAUGCUGAUCUUAGAAGCUCUUGCUGUAUUCUUUUCAGAAGUGGCUAGAAUCAAAUGAAUAAAAGCGAUAGACAUGUGUGAAAGGAAGUAAGUUCAAACAUACAGGUAAUAGUGACUUCUUUGACAGCUUGUUAAUAAGUGACAACCACGAAGAAGCAUCUGAUCUUCUUAAACCCCAAUUGUUCAUGCCAUUGCCGUUGUUUUGAUUUGCUCCACCAGUUCUGGAUAAAUUCCCUGAAUUAUGGGCACCUGAUUGCUUCUGUUUUUCCAUAUGUGAGGUUUCACGUUUUGGACCUCGAGCCCCAUCAUGAGAAGCUGACGCAGAAGCUGGAGCACGUGAUCCACCACCACCACCGCUGGUGGCAGGACUCAUAGUCUUUUUCUUGAAUGUAUCUUUUGCCGCUUUGAAGCCCUGAGGAAUGAAGGUUUCACUUUCACAUAUCUUGUAAAGUUCUCCAGAGUAAAAUAGGCAGUGCUCCAAUGGGACUGGUCUUUUUGUAGUCCUAUAAUAAAAUUACACUCAAAUAUAAAAUAUUGGAGAAAAGUUGAGAAGGAAGCAACAUAAAUGUUUUAAAGCGUCACAAAAGAUGAGAAAAAAACUCAGUUCAUGACAUGAUUUGAAUUGUUGAAAAAAGCAAAAAGAAAAACGAAAAAAAAAAAACAAAGAAGUUGAAUCAAAGGCCAUUUACUGCACCAAUACAUGCUUACCCAGUAACACGGAUUUGCUUUUGCUUUGUCCGUCCAAUCCAGUCAGCAAACUCAACUUUGUUUGGCACCUAUAAAUUGACAAUUAGCACAACAUGAGAUGCAUCUGUUGUACAAAAAAUAAUAAUGAAAAAAGAAAGGGUCUGUCUGGACUCUGGAGAUCCAAUGAGCUAGUAUUGUAACACAACCUGAUAACUAAACCUAAAAUGUUAAGAAAUAUGAAAGCAGUUAUCCUAUUGCUUUCAGGCACAAGAAAAUAGGCAAAGAAGCAUGCCCUGUAGAAAGAUACCAGGUGACUUACAUGUUAGCCAAAUUUUGAAAAUUAGAUACUGCCAACUCCUCUAGCAUUAGUUACAAUAAAAUAUGAAUUUCAUAGCACAUCAACUGUCAGGAAAAAGGAAAGAUAGUGGACAAUGCUUCUAUACUAACCAACCAAAUAGCUGGUAUUACUGCUUAGAUUAAUUCUAAGAAAUGAUUACUUUUUCAGAUAGAAACAAAUUUUACAAAGACAUCACAAAAUAAUUUAGCAAAAAAUGCGUAAUGAAUUAAAUUGUUAUAGACCCGAUAAUGGCCUUGCUUAAUGGAAUAUUACAAAUAAGUGAUAUAACAUUUAAGGGUAGGUUGGACAAUUAUGAAUAGUAAACAAAAAAAACAAACAAAAAAAUUGAAAACAAUUAACAUGGGGGCAGAGUUUCUUAUAAUUCCAAUUGCAUGUUUUUUGACUUUUUCUUUGGGCACUUUGAAAACAAAAUUAGAUAAAUAAUCAGUAGGGGCACUUUGAUAACAAAAUUAAAUAAAUAAUCAACAGCAAAAAUCCAACAAAAUUAAGGAAAUAAAUAUUAAAAAAACAAAUAAUUGAGCUUGCACACGUGUCAAGAGGCUAGUAGUUAAUGAAUAAACAAGAGGAGACAAAGAGACACCACCAGAUUAAACAAUGAGCCUAUUCACCAAAAAUAUUCGAAAAAACAGUUUCCAAAUAAGAAAUGAAAAUUUUGAGAUGGUUGUAAGAGCAACUUUAGCAGACUCUCUGUUUUAGAGAGCGUGUUUAGCUUUCUUUGAUAUUUUCGGAGCUCCAGCAGACUAGCCAAAGUUUAGCUAUUAUGACUUUUAGCUAUCUCGCUAGCUAAAUAUAGAGAGAGCAAAAUGACUCAGAUGAGGCUAGCUAUAAUUUAAUACAUUCCUUGUAAGAUAUUUUACGUGAUAUAUAAAUAUAUUUAAACUAUUUAAUCUUUAUUUGAAGAAUAAUGUUGAUGUAAUGUUAGCUAAAAUAAAGAGCAUUGAUGCAGCCGCAUUUCUAAAGUGGCUAGCCAAAAUGACAUUUUAGCUAAUUUGACUAAAAUUUAACUCAAAAAUGGCUAGCAUUGCUAAAGAUGCUCUAAUAUCUAAUACUAGCAAAUGAUAAUUUUCAAGAAACUCAUUUAUCAUUUAAAUAUCUUAUUCAAAUGAAUAGAGAGGAUGAGAAGCGGACGUCCGCACUCGGCUUAAAGUGCGGACCUCCGUCGGUUCUCCACCCUUCGGCGCCGGCGACGGCGCGCCUCCACCCCAGAACACUCCAGCAGCGUCCCCGACCACUUUCCCUCCCCGGCGAGUCCGUUCUUUUCCAGUUUCCGGCGAGAUUGAUCUUGUUUGAAGNNNNNNNNNNNNNNNNNNNNCUUUCCCUCCCCGGCGAGUCCGUUCUUUUCCAGUUUCCGGCGAGAUUGAUCUUGUUUGAAGUUUUGGGUGAUCUCGCCAGAAAACUGAAAAAGAACGGACUCGCCGGGGAGGGAAAGUGGUCGGGAACGCUGCUGGAGUGUUCUGCGGUGGAGGCGCGCCGUCGCCGGUGCCGGAUGGUGGAGAACGGACGGAGGUCCGCACUUUAAGCCGAGUGCGGACGUCCGCUUCACAUCCGGCCUGAUCAAAUGAAAUCCUAUACUAGUCAACAUUUAAAACACUGAUCUAUAACCUUUUGAUAGAUAUAAUUCAAUUAACAAUUAUAAUGCUCCCAUCAACAAGUUUUUUAUUAAAUAAUAUUCAAUUGUUUGAUGACCUAUUGAUUCUAAUAACUGAUUGUUAUAAUUUCAUAUUUGUAUCACAUUUUUUAUGGUGCUAAAUAAUAUCACGGAAGAGUACAUACCGUAGCUGAAAGGAGGACAAUGUUGAUGUGUCUUGGGAGCAUUAUAAUAACUUCUUCCCAGACAACACCUCUUUCGACAUCAUUGACAUAAUGAACCUCAUCAAAGAUAACCUGUCUCCGCAUGCACAUGCAGAAAGAUAGCAAGAAUAUUACAGCAAUUAAAGUAUUGAGAACUAUCCAUAGAAAGGAGGGAAAACACUAAUCAUGAUAUAUCAUAGAAACAAUUCCAAUUACCCAUUCAAUAUCACGUAUGAUGUCAGCACCCCUAUAAAGCAUUGAUCUUAGUAUUUCAGUGGUCAUAAUGAGACAAGAAGCCUCGGGCCUCAAGCUAACAUCACCAGUGAGAAGUCCAACAUCGAAUUUUCCACAGAAGUCCCUAUAUUUUUGGUUGCUGAUGGUUUUGAUAGGAGCUGUAUACACAGCUCUAGUGCAAUGCUGCACGGUAUUAGAAUAUGGAAGAAUAUUAAACAACAAUCAUUUAACUGCAAUAAAAAGUAUUCACUAGUAAAAGAAUUCAGGAUAUACUUUUGAUGCCAAAGCAAAUGCAUAUUCUGCAACAACUGUCUUUCCAGCUGAUGUGUGAGCAGCUACAAAUACAGACUCCCCCUUUUCAAGAUAAUAAAUUGCCUGAACAACGGUAACCAAGGGUUAUCUAAGCAGAAAUAAAUCUCGGAUUGAUAAUAUCUACACUAUCACAGCAAAACAAAAGGAGAAAAAUAUACAUGCUCUGUUUUAUUGAAAAUCCUGCAAUAUACGAUAUGAACAUUCUACUAACGGUCUAAACAUAAGAAGUUUCACACUCAUUACCUCCAGAUCCUUAAAGCAUUAGAAAUAAAGAUGCUUUAAGAAUCCUCUCUGGGUGAGCAUGGUGAAAGUUUAUAUAACUAAUUUGAAAAUCAAACUAUUCUUCAGUCUUUAACCUUCUCAAGAGUGCAAAAAAGUUUAGAUAUUUUGACAUUAAAGUACUAAGCACGAAGUUGGUUCAUAUUUGUUUUACCUUGUGCUUUGUCAUAUUCGUACCUACCAAUUAGUUGUUUUGAUGGGAAACUUGAGGCUUAACAGGUCUUUUAUACACAUAAAUCAGUAAAUUAGAGUGAUUAGACACAUAUUUUUAAUUGGGUGAUGUUGCAGAUUUCCUAGAGACGUUGAUUGUGUUGACCACAGAUUGUUGUCAGCUAGAGACUGAACUAUAUUUUAGCACUCUUUUUUUUUUUUUUGAGAAAUAUAUAUUAAGAAUAAAUUUCAGGGUUUCUUUCAGAACAAAUGAUACUGUAAAGAUCCAACUCUACUAUUUGGACCUAUCAAAAAUCAAUCUAUCAAUUUUUAUAUAUCCCACAAAAAGAAAAAACAAUACCAAUCAAUCUCUAUAGAAAACAUACAGAAAGAUGGAUUCAAGCAAUACCUCCUUUUGGAAUGUAUCCAAUUCGAAAGGAAAAUCAAGUGCCAUAUCAGGAACAAGAUCAUUAAAAUUCUCUGAAAUCCAUUCAGUACGUCCACUAAUAGCCCAGGCCUGUCAAUGGUCAAUAGCUUACAAAAAUAAACAAACAUGUAAUGCAGAGAAAGAGACCUGCUAAAUUCAUAUAUGAGAAAGUUAACUUAAACUACCACAUCACUAACUCUUACCUCCGGGUUCUGUUCACCACCAGUUCCAUUGAAUCUUGACUUUGAGUCUCCUGCCUCAACAGACAAGAUCUCAUCCAAAACAGACAGUUCAGGCUCAGAAGGAUUGCUGGUAAUAUCAACAUCAACCACAUUUACUUCAUACUCUGACUCAACAGAUUCUGAUCCUGACAAUUGACCUUUGGGAAUAACAUCCUCAUUAAAACAAACGAAAACUAUAUAUUAAAAUGAUCAAAACAGAACUAACAGACCAGAUACUUGCAGCAUUUGGUCCAUGGUUCAAAGGUAAUGUUGAAUAAUUAACAGCAUAUGUGUCAACCACACAAAAAAAACAUACUCAUAUAUAUGUAUAAUAACACACGGUUAUUAUUCCUAUUAUGCAUAAAUUUUGCCACAAGAUCACACUUGUUUAUUGUUAACUGUAAUGUCAGCUAAAAUCCACAAUUGUUCUUGAAGAUGAAUGAUGGAGAAGGAGGAGGUGAGCAAACUUAUCAGUGCACAACUGAUUACAGACCACCAGAAGCAGACAUCCAGAGUCAAUACAGGAUCCUGGAACGUCUGACAAUUCUGCAUAAGUCUGCUCGUCUACUUAAAUUUAGAAGCGACUUGCCUAACUUGGUCUAAUAGUUGCAAAAAUAGUCAAGAACACAAUUCAAGCAAUGCAAAUCUAGAAGAGCCAAGCCAGCCAUAAUAUAUUUGAAUGAAGUAAUAUCUAAUUCGGCGUCUGCUCAGAUUCCAAUGCCCAAGCAUUGGCCUCCAUGAAUAUAUUUAUAUCCCUCAACCAUAAGAUCAUAACAUUAUAAUUAGGUAUAUGCUGUUGAAAUAUAUCAAAUUUGCAUACUGUACAUACCGUCUCCUUCUAAUUCAACAACAUCCUCAUCCCAAGCCUUUUUGAACAAGUCAUCAAACUGUACAGACAACUCACUCUGCAUACCCUAGAAAUACAUUGAGAAAACCUUUGUCAGCAUGUGAUCGUUAUAAUUGAGAAAAGACUUCACUCACAUACCAAGCCGCACAUGCCUAUAUAUAAUAUCUAUAUAUAUAAUUAUAAUAUACAUGUAUGUAUAUAUAUGUAACCAAACCCUUUGCUCAUUCACUUCUUGACUAGCUACUAAUUCCAGAUAAAAACUCCAAGAUGUAAGAGAGUAAUACAUGGAAGGCUAUAUGUAGGCAAAUCGAUAACAAGAUAACUGGCUAAAAUAGGUAACUACACAAGAGAACUUCUAAAAUUGAUACAGAAAUGCUGAGUCUAGUUAAAAUUGUAACAGGUUCAAAAUAUUUGAAAAUGGAAAGAAAGCAUGUGGAAACAAAACUGACCAGCUUUUCAUCUGAUGUGCUCUUGACUGAUCUUUGAUCAUUGUAUACAUUCCAUGAGACUGGAUAUGCCUAACACAAGAGCUCUUCUGUCACUAUGAUAUGUUCAAAUUUACAACUUUCAAUCAAGAUCACAACUAAACUAACCUUGAGAGGACCAAGGUCCAAUCCUUGCUUAAAACUUGGUGGAACAGCCUGCGCAGGGCCACCAGUCAGAAGUUGGCGUACCCAUUCGCCAUUAGAAGCACCUUCGGGAAGAGUUCUUUCUAGAGAUUGGGAAUCAUCCAAGCCUCCUGGACGAAAAGGGCGGUUGCUGAUGCUUCCCCGUACAAAAUCCUUUGCUGGUCCGGCCAUGCGUGGCAACGAACCAGACUCUUGUGCUUCUACAGUACGUUCUGUUUCAUCAACCUAAGGAAAUAUAAUAAGCAAACUCUGGUCCACAUGUCGGAAACCAAAAAAACAAUGGUGACACUACAUUACUACAGUACUGUCAUUACUACAACAGUGACCUUAUGAAAUAUAAGGAAAUGUUCGGCAAACAUAUUGCUCAGGCUAGAACAACUCGAAAAGCAACGCGAAAAUGUGGCUCCAAAGUUGUUAGUUUGUGUCAACUAAUGUGGACCAAAAUUAAAACCUCUCCACUCUUCCUCAAGAGGGAAUGGCUCGACCUCAGCUGCUUCUCAUUUCAGGUGAUUUAGACUCAAUAAACUCAAAGACAACAAACAAUGCAUUAUGAUUCUGACUUCCCAUACUCUGCUAAGCGAUAUUAUUAAUGUAAACACAAACACCGAGUGAGCCGCAUACCUGCACAGAUUUAGGUUCCCAUAUCCCUCCUUCUGAUCCAUUCUUCUGGCACCUAAACGGUAACUCCCAUGUAGGAACAACAACAGACCGCGGCAACGAUGGCUCCAACGGCACAUUUGCCUUGUCAAACCAGUCGAAAUCCCACUGCCUCCCAGCCUUUUCCGGUGCAAAUACAUCAGAAUCCAAUCUCGGCAACAAAUAUGUCUCCUCUAUAUACUCUUUUAUCGACUCCGGCGUCUCCCUAACAAAUGCAGGAGGCUGAUACACAAUUAAACGCAUAUCAUCAACACUGACAUCAUGAAUUUGUCACUAAACUCCACCAACUUUUCAGUUCAGAAGUAAAUUCCGAUAAUCAAUUGUACUAAAAGUGCUUAUGCUAGAAGCUCGAUACAUGAAGCCGAACCCUAGGGAUUGAAGAAACUGAAAGAACGAGAAUUUAAGGCAAUUCGAAUAGGUAGAAGGAGGAGACUGACCAGAACGAAAUCGGGGAGCGACUUGACGGGGUCGGAGCGCUCGGCGGUGAAGAGAGGCUCGAGCCUGAGGUGGCCGCUGUGGCCGGAGAACCCGACCCGGAAUGAGAGCUCCUUCGCGGCUUCUAUCGGAUCCAUUUACUUCUGUUUGAGUGUUCUGAGGGGUUUUAAGUCGGAUUUUGGAUUCGGAGUGGCUUCACUGUCACUCAUUCACUCUCUAUGGUGUAGAAGCCUAGAAGGCAGUCCGAGGAAUUUGAAAUCACGAGGGUUUAAAGUUUCUCAUGUCUUCAACACUUCAACCCAGUCGCGCCUCUUGCCUUUGUGAUAGUUUUUUGUUUUUGCAAAUUGUUUUUCCGAUGAAAGAAAGAAAUUACAACGAUGGACAUUUAAAACAUAUUAAAAAAAAAGUCAGAAAAAAAGACAUUUUGAGCAAAUAUAAGGUAAAAAUGUAUCUAUCUAGCUGGGAGUUCCGACAUGGUGGUCAAGACUAGCUCAAGCGUCUGCAAUAAAGUUUCCUCUCUCUAUACGUGAGUAAAACUAAUUAAAGUGAAAUGGCUAGUCAAAACUUGAAUAUCAUGAAUUAUAAUGAAAAGUAGUCUAAUUUUACAACAAUUUUUCAGUUUGACUUUGUGUUUUUUCAUCCUACACAUAUCACUUAACGACUUCGGCUAUGAUUUUUUCUUUUUAUGUAUGAGAAAACUCCAAAAGUCAUUCGCAUAUGAUGAAAUAAGUCCAUUACUUAUGAAAUUGUUUUACAUAUAUUUCAAAUGAUUUCAAACAGUUUAUAAAACAAAACAAAAAAGGAUAAGAUUAUCUUUGUAAUAAGAAAGUCUUGACUACGAAAAAAAAAAGUUAAUUAAAAGAAAAGACUUCUUCUUUUUUCUGUUACAAAAAGAAAAGGUUUUUUUCUCGAUAGAAUUAAAAGAAAAAUUAAUUAAAACAAAAGAGUUUUACCAAAAUCAGCUUGGGUGUACCACGUGUCUAAAAUUUUGUGGUACACACUAGAUUGACGCAAAGCACGGGCCACGAAACAUUAAACAAGAUUUAAGUGUGGUAUCGCGUCCGACUCUCUCUCCAGAAUCUUCACCUGACUUCAUCCCUAUAUAAAGCUCUCCCUAUGAACAAUUUCGUGUUCUAAUCCCCAAACCAUCAUCCGAGAGAGAUCGAGAUUUUCAAUUUCAGUGAGCAAGUAUUGUCUCUGCCAUCAAUCUUUACGGUUAGUUCCUCUUCUCCUUCUUCAUAUUUGAUUUACCCAUUUUUUUGCUAUAUAUUUCAAUAUUUGUGUAUGGAAAUUUAGGAAUCUUAGGAUCACAUCUUGAAUUACGACAUGUUUAUCGCAAUUGAUUUAUCUCGGAAGAUAGAGAUUCUUCUAAUAGGAAUAUAUUGACGAUUUGAAAUUAGGGAGACUGGUGAUUUCGUCAGCUUUAUUGUCUUUUCUCCUCUAAAGAUUAGUCUUGAAAAAGAAUAGGUUAGUUUGUUAAUGUCUUCGUUUUUCCCAUAAUUUCAAUGGGAGAAUAUGAACUUUUGAUUUUGUAAAAGCUCGAAAUGAGUUUUUUCUUGUUCUCCUGAAAUUGGAGUAUAAUCCGUGUUGUUGUUCUUUGGCUACAGAUGUCGUACUCGAGAAGGUCAAGGUACUCUCCCUCUCCUUCGCCUAAGCGAUACAGGUCUCCAUCUCCUUCCCCAAGGCGAUACAGGUCCAUUUCGCGGUCCGUCUCGAGGUCCAUGUCCAGAUCAAGGUUUGUGCCUUUAUCCCAGCUGUUUUUCACGUUCUGUUGAAUUGUUUACAUUAUUUGUGUUUUUAGUGUGAUCUUCAUGUGUUUUGUUUUGAAAGCUUAUGCGUUUCUGAUUUGAUUUGCAGGAGCCCAUCUGUGGAGAAUCCUGGGAACAAUCUGUAUGUGACUGGAUUAUCACCUCGGAUCACAAGGAGAGAACUUGAGAAGCAUUUUGCGUCCGAGGGAAAAGUAUGUGUUGGACUGCCCUUUUCUAUCUUGAUUUGUAUUUUUAUCAUCUUCUAAUAGUGUUUGAUAUUUACUCAUGAUUUUAAUUUUGCUGAUUUGGGUGUUUUAGGUGAUUGAUGUCCAUCUUGUAGUUGAUCCAUGGACAAGAGAAUCUCGUGGAUUUGGGUUUGUUACCAUGGAAAAUGUUAAUGUGGCUGACCGCUGCAUCAAAUAUUUAGAUCGCUCUGUUCUUGAAGGUCGUGUGAUUACAGUGGAGAAGGUAAUGUUUGUUCCCUUUUUACUGUGAUUAUUGCUGGUUCGUCCAUUUGGUUCAAUUUUUUAUUUAGUUUGUACUCUAUUCUACAUUAUAGUGGGAGUUUUAAUUGUUUGCUAUUGGUUACUUGAGAUUGAAAGUUUGUUGCUUCUUUCCACUUGAAGUGUUUCUGGCAGCACGUUAGCUGUGUGCAGCAGCUCUUCACCAAUUUCCAAACCACAACUUAACAAACCAAUCAAACUCACCAAGUAUCAGAUCACUAGGGUUGUAUGCCCUGCAUUUCUCUCUUUUGUAGAAGUUAAACAUAUUCUUGCUAUAUAUGUUCUGUUUCCAUUGCCUUGGCAUAUAAUAAUUCCUAGUAGAUACUCCUAUUUUGUUGUUAGUCGGUUUGGUACUCAAUGAUCUCAUUCUUUGUUUUGGUCUAUUACAGGCUAGAAGGCGGAGAGGGCGAACCCCCACUCCAGGAAGGUAUCUUGGUCUGCGAACAAUUCGUGGUAAGCCUUUUUUUAUCUGCUCAUACUUGAUAUGUCACUUUUACUUCUCUGGUGUCUCUUUUAAUGAGUUGUUUGUUUUCUUUGUAGGGCGCCGGCGAACCCCUAGCUACUCCCCACCUCGCAGGUCUCCUACCUACUCUCCUUACAGAAGGAGCUACAGUCGAUCGCCCGGUUACUCAUCUGACCGAAGUAGGAGCAGAUCAUACUCUCCUCCAUACAGAAGGCGGAGAUCUUACUCUCCUGACUAUAAGAGGCGGCGGUCUUACUCUCCUGACUAUAGGAGGCGCAGGUCUUACUCUCGCUCAUGUUCUCCUUACAGCAGGUCACCAGUGAGAUACCGUGAGCGAUCCUACUCUCCUUAUAGAAGGGAUUACUCACCAGAUGACUCUUACUAUGGAAGGAGGCGACGCUAUCGCUCUGUCUCACGUAGUGUCUCGCCCAGGUACCGGAGGAGCUCAAGGAGGAGCUACUCACGCAGUGUCUCUCCAAGGCCUAGGAGGGUUUCUCGGAGAAGUUACUCACCUAGUGUAUCUCCUGAACCAAGGAGGAGAAGCUCAAGGAGGAGUUACUCUCGGAGUGCUUCUCCUAGAUACAGGGGCUCAAAGUCCCACAAGGGUUCAGCCCUGCGAAAAUACUCCAGGAGCUGCUCUAGGAGUCGAAGUCCGAGUGUGAGUGCAAGUUCUAGAUUUAUGUCAAGAUCUGCCAGUCCUGGAUCUACCUCAUCUUCAACAUGAAGUCUGUUACUAAGCACAUCUCCGGCUUUGUAGGGAUUGUGAUUUCAUCGUCCCAGUAUUUGAUCCUGUAGGGAUUGUGUAUCUCGACUCGCUGUUAUUAGACUGUUGCUAUUGAUAAAUGUAAUUGUUGUACUAGUUAUUUCCUCUGCAUGGUUGGUCAGGCGUUCUGUGCUUCAGUUAUUUCAUUGUUGUUUUUAGUCAUGCGUUUCUUUUCUCACUCACAAUCUGUUUCUGCAAUUAGAAAGUGAAUUGCCUAAAGUAGAAUAUGUUAGGAAACCAUUUGUUCAUGUGUUGAAUAGGCAGAAAACUAACUGUUCUAAGCCUAUCAAAGUUUACAUCCUGUUCGAUCUCAAUCUGACGGUCAUCAAGAUCUUUUAGACACCCCAAUAUGGAGCCACUGAUGCAGUGACUCGGUUAAAGUCCAGGGCAUACAACCCUAGUGCAAGUAUUAAAUCUUUUCUGGAUUUAAUACUUGCACUCGGUGUUUGGAGAAAGAAUGGAUGUUCUUUUGAAAAACUGCACAUCAGCUCUUCAAGCGAACAAUUACUUGAAGAAUGCACUGCUUCAGCUGUGGUAAUGUGAAUCAAGUGUUCGUGCUCUCUUUGGUUGCAUAUAUGGAUAAUAUUCUCUACAAAUAGUUGGUCAGAUGAAGAGUUCUCCUGUGUUUCUGACUUGUUCUAAGUUCUAAUUGGUGUGAAUUGAUGUAGGGCGUACCUUUUGUCAUCUUUGGAACUUUUGGGCAUUGGACUUAACUCGAUGGAAGCGAGGAGGUUGUAAUGUGAUUGCAGUCAUUGUUGGGUUGCCGUAGAUAGUUCGGUGGAAGACAUUAACCAAAAGAUGACUCAAAUUGGUAAUAACAUGAUAAACUUUCAGCCUAGAGCAACAGUGCAGAUCAUGUUCUUUGUAGUUUGGUUUGAGGAGAAGAUGAGAUGACUUGCUCACUGUAUAUCAAAUAAUAUCUGUGCUUGUUUGUUGGUAAUGGAAGAACGAAUCUUCAACAUGAUCCAGAAAAGAGAAAAGAAAACGAUUGUUAGCUUGCAAGUGAUCAAAUCAUUGGUUAUACUCUUCUCUUUCUUAGACGAAGAAUUCAGUAUAAUAACUUCAUUGUAAAAGCGCUUGUUUCACGAUCAUACUGUUCCAUUACAUGUAAUUCAAAUUUUCAUAUUUAUCUGCCUUCGUUCACAUCGUGUUGCUUCAUGUUAAGAGGUGUGAAUGUGCGCGCUGAUGUGCCCCGAAGUACAGUUCUAACCUGGUAAGAAUGUCUGUUUCUAGUCCCACAUCGAGGAAACUGAGAAGAAUAUCCACAGAAAAAACAUAUAAAAGUAGAGCUAGGGUCUCAUUGUAAAGUGUCUUUGCGCUUGGGGCAAUGACGCAGCUAAUGAGGUUCUAACCGAGGCGCGUCUAUUGCUGGUUGAAAACUAUUUCCAAACCCCCUCCUGGGUUUGCCUAGUGCCCUCGAGAAUUUCUGGAAGGGCUCCCUUCGGGGUAAAGCCCUACAAUUCUAGUCCUACUGUUUUUUUUGCUCAUAAAAAUAUACAAUCAGCCAUAAAUCCUGUGUGAUAGUUUUUUUAAUCCAGAGCACAAUCUAUGAGAACUGGCGACGGUGCUUGAAGUUCUUUGUGGUUGUUUUGGUUUCGUGAAAUUGGAUUCGAGGUUGUUGAGACACUGUUUGAAUCGAGGUUAUACUGCUAGACUACUGGGUAGUACAAUGGUGUUUUCAUUUGAUUUGUGUUUUCAUAAUUAUGGUAUAAUUGUGUUUUUAUUAGUAUCAAGCUGAAGAAUUUUCUGUGUAAUUUGUUCAAUUUGCCGCCCAAACGGGACACCAUCUCAGUCCUCUAGGCCCUUUCAAAUUCAAUCAUACUGAUUCAAAUCUGGAAAAUCAAAUCGAACCAGACCUAUAAGGCUCCAAAACGGAAGAAACUAACAAAAGGUUUGAGAGAUUGAGAGGACAUGAGCUUUUUCGGGUGGAAGAAUAUAUAUGAAUGUGAGUCUCUGACUGUUGAGGUUGAUGCACAUAGCCGCAUCUGCCCCGGGGGAUGGGGGGAUUUGACAAAGCCCGAGUCCUAAAAAUAUUAAUGGGAGUUGCGUUCCCGAUCAAGGUGUUAUAUGAAGCAAAGACCAAAUCAACACAAAUUUUUUAUCUUCAGUUCUAACAGAUUUCUUAUUAUACAGCAAUAUCAUCUAUGUAAUCCUUUAUAGAUUAUGUAGGUUUUAGAGAUUGCUGUAACUUUAAGGAAUUUGGCUUCUCUUUCCUCAGUAUCUCAAAAGUAUGUACACUGACAGUUAUAGGAAAUCUGUUUGAAGCAACAGUUUUCAUUUUCUCUUAAAAUAGAUAAAAAGCAAAAAUCAAGAUAUGAGGAACUUGUUGAAGUUGCUGAAGACAUGAGGAACUUGUUGAAGUUGCUGAAGACAGUGUCUUGAUUUCUCAUUCAAAUAAGCCAAACGAUUAAGUAGGAUUUUUUUGAAGUUAUGUUCAGUACGUGCGCUACAAGUUUUUGCUGAGGUACAGUGUGACAUGAUCGGAGGUUUCAGUACGAAUUACUGGUUUCUACCAUUGGUGUCACUGAAGCCUUCAUGUGGAGCAGUGCUGGUAUGCAUGUACAAAAGUUUGUAUUUCAUUGGAAAGAAGAAUUGCAAGCUCGAUCGGUUUGUGUCUCAUGAAUAUUGGUAAAUUCAUGCGUGGUUAUCAAUCAUGACAAGCAAAAGAGCACACUUGCGAAGUUUGUUUUUAUUUGUAUGGAUUUCCGACAUAACCAUCAAGUGUCUACAUGCAAUUUUUAUUCAAGAUUGUCUUGUUGUAUUGCUUCAUGUAGUAUAUGAUCUAUACCAGACCACGGAGAAUAUGCAGUAAUGAGGUAUGAUACAUAGUAGCCAAUUGAUUAUGCAAGCUAGUUCCUCCAAGAUGGAGAUAAAUUUGAGCACAUGUAGAUACUCGGGUGGUAGACAAUAGGAGUAGCAUUUGGGGAGUGAUGACUCCUCACCAGUAUCCCAUGUUUGUAAAACGUUUAUUGUCCCACAUCAGUCAUAUGAGACAAGCACAUAAAUAAAUAAAAGUAUAGAUACGGCGGUGUUGGAAUGUAGUACUCAUAUCUUUCUCGCCCUUUUGGCUAAGAUCAAGUGUAGUAUCUGUUCUUAUCAGUUUAAUAUCUGAUAUGUGGACCAAUGGUUCACACGAUAUUAAAUUAAUUUUUUAAAGAGAUGAGUCUAUCACAAUAGCUUGCUAGUGGGGCUUGCAUGUGUUAUCCUUGUGUUGCACUACAACAAGGUUUGGCACACCCUACCAAAUAAAGUUCAUGAUUGGCAAAAAAAUGCCACACAAAAAAGCUAGUGAUAUUUUGGUUCCCCUUGAAUGUGGCUUCUUGCCAACAUAGAGUUGUUGCCGUAGCACCAUAAAGACUCGAGCCGUUGUCUAGAACUAAACCGGCCUACACGAACAGAGUCCGCCUACCAACAACAAUUGCUUCAUUAUCAUCUAGCUACCAUCCCGUUAAGUAGUGUUUUUGUAGAAAAAUUCUAUCUACCAUCUCGUUAAGUUUUCAUCAUGGUGGGUAAGAUCAGAAGUUACAGGACUCGGCUUAACUAGGAGCUUAUACAAACAGGACUUGAUGCAUUAUAUGUUGGAUAUCUAAACUCUCAACAUACCACAUCGGAGAAUGAGUAAAACAAACAUAAGGGGGAGACAUAAGUAUGGAUGGUGGAGCGACAUUGAAACAUACUUACCUGGACAGGGUCAAUGGGCGAUCAUGAAGACUCAUAGCCUAGGCUAGUGACCUCCAUUGCACUUCGGAUGAGUGCUCGCUUAAGAUCUCCUCAAGCGGGAGAGUCUACGUCAUAAUUUGUUGCAGGGGGGUUUGUGUUCGCGCAGCCCCUACAUUCUAAGUUGUUGCAGGGGGGUUUGUGUUCGCGCAGCCCCUACAAUCUAAGUUUUAAUUUUGUAGCGCAGGGGAACCAAAAUAUCACUAGCUUUCUUAAUUAGGUCCCGGCUUAACUAGGAGUUUAUACAAACAGGACUUGAUGAGCUUAUUAUGAAUUAUAUGUUGGAUAUCUAACCGGUGGCGGAUUCAAGACGAAAAUCUCACAUGGGCUAAAUGCAACGCACAAAAAAUUUUAACCAACAGUACGAGAAAUUUUAGUUUAGAAUUACCGACCUUUCUUAUUUAGGUCCUGGCUUAACUAGGAGCUUAUACAAACAGGAGUUGAUGCGCUUAUUAUGAAUUAUAUGUUGGAUAUCUAAGUAUCUAACCUCUCAACAUACCGCAUUGGAGUUGAUGCGCUUAUUAUGAAUUAUAUGUUGGAUAUCUAAGUAUCUAACCUCUGAACAUACCACAUUGGAGAAUGAGUAGAACAGACAAGAGUGGGAGAGAAAAGUAUGGAUGGUGGUGCGACAUUGAAACAUACUUACCUGGACGGGGUCAAUGGGUGAUCAUGAAGACUCAUGGCCUAGGCUAGUGACCUCCAUUGCACUUUGGAGGGGUGCUCGCUUAAGAUCUCCCCAAGAGGGAGAGUCUAGCUAUGUCAUAAUUUGUUGCAAAGAGGUUUGCGUUCGCGCAGCCCCACAAUCGAAGUUUAAAUUUUUAUCCAAUUUUGAAUUUUUGAUGUGCUACAAAUUAUGUUUGUUUCAUAGCUUUGAUUAUUCUUAGUCACCGUUUUCCGAUCUAAUUUUUAUGUCUGUAUUGAUGUAUCUCUCUAAUGUUGAAAAGUGUGGGAAACAGCUUUUCCCAAAUCACAGGUGAUGAACAGUUCACGUGAAGGACGAGGACUUUUACGAUUCAAAAAUGGCUACUGUGAAACCUAUCGAGGGUGGUGCCUUUCUGUUCUUCAAUCUUCUUCCUGAUGUAAUAAUCGAUCCAAACAGUAUGCAUGAGACCAUGUCAUUGAGGGUGAGAAAUGAGCUGCAACCAAGUGGAUUCAUGUGAGAUCUUCAAUAGAGAAGGUUGCAGAUGCCUAUAGUAUUCCACGACGGCCGACUGGUCUAGGAACCAACUCCGGUGAUGGCUUAAUUAAGGCUCUUGCUGAGUUAGAUUGGACUAAUUCAUUACGUAGCCACUGUAGGAAGACUACAAAACGACUCGUACAUAGAUAGGAAUUUGCCUAUACGACGACGUGAUGAUGGCUUAUAGAACAGAGAUUGAAAUCCUUUAUUUUUAUUUUUUUCAAGAGUGAAAGAUUUGGGAAUAAAAUUCCUUGCAUUCCCGGCUCCAGUAACUUUGAGUUAUGACUUAUGAGAGAAUUUUCAAAUGGAAGUUCUGAAUUGUUGGUAUUGUUUCAUGUAAGUAGCAAUAUAGCAUACAGUCGAACUAAGAUUGUGAGUAAAUUAGAGACUGGCAGUACUUGUCAGAAACUUAAAACCACAUCGUUAUAGAUUGAAUGAUGUAUUUAGUCUCAUCAUCAUAAAACAAAGCAGCUGUGACCGUAACCAAAUACGGAGCCAUGCGUUGAGCACAUAGCGAACUAUUCUUUCGCCUUUUACUAAAGAAUACCGUGUGCACGGCGCUUUUAGUGGCAUAUGCCAAUUAUUGAAGGUGCAACUCUGUGGGUGUCCCUAGAAAUUUAGUUGACAAAUUUCACAUUUUACAUCCAUAUCCUUGUCUGUGAUAGUGUUCAAUUCUCAUGCUAUGGGAAUCGUUUGUUCAUGAUUUGUUUGUCUCAUUGCUUCAUGUAAUAUUUGAUAUUCUUCAGCUAUUUUUAAUUCUACAAUUGUUUAUUUGUUAGCAAGAAAGAAACAUUUUCCUCGUUUAUUCGUAGAAAUUGCAAAUCAUAUACAGUAUCGAAAAUUAUAGCCUGAGAUCUUCAAUACAGAGACACAAAUAUAUGUAGAUAACGUAAUCUCUACAGAGGAAAUUAUUCAUGAACACACACAUAUGAACCACAACACUAGUUGUUGUCGGUCUAAAUUGUUGAUACACGUAGUGUCGCUGUGUAAUGUACAAAGCUAGAUGAGCAGCCUUGCAAAUCGUAUGGGAGAUGGCAGAAGAAAGGGACAUGUACUUCGAGCUGAAGAUGAUGUAAAACGAUAGUAGUUGAUUAUCCCAUGCUAGGUCUUAAAUUUAUCUUACCUUACCAAUCAACAGUUUGUAGAGCGUUCAUAGUCCCACAUCGACCAUAUGAGAAAAACACAGAAAUAAAGAAUGUAUAAAAAAAACCAAAAGGUUUAAUUUAACUCUCAUACCUUUCUCGGCCUUUUGGCUAAGAUCAAGUGUAGUAUCUGUUCUUAUCAGUUUAAUAUCUGAUAUGUAGACCAAUGGUUCACACGAUAUUAAAUUAAUUUUUUAAAGGGGUGAGUCCAUCACAAUAGCUUGCUAUUGGGGCACACAAGUGUCAUCCUUAUGUUGCCCUACAACAAAGUUUGGCGCACCCUACCAAAUCAAGUUCAUGAUUGGCAAAAAAAUGCCACACAAUCAGCAGUUGAUGGAUGUUCUGCAUGCUGGUGAUUGUACUUUGUAAGUUGCGUAUUCGAGUUAUUAACACUGUUAUUAACACUAAGAGACAUAGAUAUAUUAGGGAAGCGAAAUCCACACACUCUCUUUCUAUUUUUAGUAACAUAAAUUUUGUCCUUAGUGACUUAAUUUUUGUUUCAUAUGAAAAUGAUUACUAAAAAUAGAAAAUGAGUGUGUGGAUUACAAUUUGGGGUGUGUGGAUUUCACAUCUCAUAUAUUAACAACUAUAGAAAAAAUCAUUCUUCAUGACAGAUCAUUUAUGGCAAACAAUGAGGAUUCGCAGCAGUACAAGGAUUAUAGCAAAAUACAUCAAUUAUCACUAUCUAGUGUUUGUAGAGCGUUUAUAGUCCCACAUCGACCAUAUGAGAAAAACAAAGAAAUAAAGAAUGUAUAAAAAAAAAAAAAGGGUUUAGCUUAACACUGAUACCUUUCUAGGCCUUUUGGCUAAGAUCAAGUGUAAUAUUUGUUCUUAUCAGUGUAGUAUCUGAUACGUGGACCAAUGGUUCACACGAUAUUAAAUUAAUUUUUUAAAUGUGUGAGUCUAUCACAAUAGCUUGAUAUUGGUAGGGCUGGAACUGGUACAGUUACUAGGAAUUUUUGUCCAAACCGCCUAUCGAGUCGACUCUCAGUGGUAAUGAAAUUUUUAUACCAGUAUUGGCUGACCAAGUUGGUAUCCCGAAAGUUUGGUAUAACGAACUUUCGGUAGGUAGCGGUACGGUGGGGCCUCUACCGAAGCUUAUUGAGUCUCCAAAUCUGCCACUUUUUAAAAUGAAAACACAGGCCUAGACCAAAAAAAAAUCCACAACAACUUUUUUUUUGAAUCAUUCAAACACUGCCGAAACCUGUACUGAUUCAAAAAUAAGCAACACAAUGAUUCAAAGUUCAAAAAUGUAUAAACCAAACAUGUUGUGUUUCACACUUAAAUUCCAAACCAAGUAACAAAAUUACAAAAUGCAAAUCCACAAACUCAGUAUAAUUGUAUAAGUGUCUCACAAGAAAUAAAGGCAAUAAGGACUGUAAGGCACAAACCAUUGAAACCAACCUACAUUCCUAGAAUCCUAAUCCAAAACAUCUGCAAUUCUACAUUUAGUGUCUUACAAGCCACAAACCAACUUAACAUUAGUACACAACUUCAAAUCAACAGUCUUAAACAGUCCUAAACGCUAAACAGUCAUGCACUCCUGUUGCUAAUUAACAUGCCAUACACCAAAAUCUCAACCAUAAAAUCCUAAAACCAAACAAAAUUUCAAUAAUCAAUAUGAGUAUAUGACAUUGAAUCAGACAAUCAGUAACUCACAAGUCACAACCACAAUCCAAAAUUCCAAAUAGACUCAAACCUUACAAUUUACAAUGAAAUAAAGACCAAAACCUAAUAGCAAUGCACCAAAAACCAAAACCUAAAACAAAUGCACAAGCAGUCAAGCACAAGUGCACAACUCACAAGUCACAACUCUAAAAUCAGUAAAGUCUAAAAUAGAAAUUAAAGUCUGAAACAGUUUCAACUGAAAUUGACAAAUAGUAAAGACUGAAAGAGUUUAAACUUUAAAGUUUUAACAAAUAAAUAACUAAAACAUCAUGACAAAUUCAUAAACCCUGGAUUCCAAACACACUGCUGGCCUGCUGCUACAUAUUGGUUUGCCUAGAGCUUCCAAUAAGCUCUAUUAGGGUUGCUGCUGCCUCCUGUCCUUGAUUGAAACCGUUUUCUGCAAAAUAAAUAAAAUUCACAUGGUUAAAAAAAUAAGGUCUGAUUUCUUAUAGCAAAUUCACACUGUUUUCUAAUAAUUACUUCUCUUAAUCUCCUCCAACUCAACGUAAAUGGCGAGCUCAUCUUCACUGGGAUCCUUAUAUAGGUUAGGUGGAUCAGAUUUUAACCAAUCACUUGUGCACACCAGGGCCUCUACCAUUUUUGGUGUCAAUAAUGCUCUAAAAGGAUCGACAACUCUUGAUCCUAAAAUAAAUGCAUUUUCAGAGGCCACUGUUGAGUAAGGAAUACCAAAUAUAUCUUUGGCCAACUUUGAUAGCACUGGAUAUGUUGCCUCAUUGCCUUUCCACCACUUUGCAAUUUCAAAACUCUUGGAGAAGAUGCUGACAUAUCUAUCGGAUAAGUAUUGAUCAACUUUAUUUCUUAUAUAUAAAGAUUGCUCAGCCACCCUCUCCCUUGCUAUCUCCCUGCUAACCUCAUCGAGGCCAUCCAAAUCAUCUGCUUCAAUUUCUAAACCAUUACUAGAAAUCUGCUCAGCCAUCUCAUUUGUGUCUUGACCUCUAUAUUCUUCAUACAUCUUCAUCAAUAUUUCUUCAAGUCACUUUCUAUUGAUUCAAUCACCACGGCACGUGCUUUAACUUUUCUCAUUGCCACUUUAGCCCACUGCAACUUAUAUCUUGGGUCUAGAACAUUAGCUAUCAUGGUCACCUUGUUCACAACCUCAAAACUGCCCCAAUACUUGACAAACUUCUCCUUCAUAGAAGCAGCAACCCUCUUCAAAACCUCAUCAGAAGAUUCAUAAGCCUUAUCAAUCUCAGUCUGCAAUGUAAUCAUCUCGACAAAUAAGAUGUUUGCAGUCACUGUUUUCCAUGCACUAAGCCUCAAAGUAGCUUCAUAAAAUUUCUUCAAAAAAAAGACAAGACUUCUGCAUUCCUCCAGUCAUCAUAACCCGGUAGUCCAACCUUGUCCUGAAAAUAACUUUUAAAUGCACCAUCUUUUUCUGCCAUCCUCCCAAACACAACUUCAUACUUCAGAGUAGCUUCCAGCAUAAGAAAAGUGCUAUUUCAUCUUGUUAUUACAUCUAAUCUAAUGGAACAUCGGCAUUAGCCCUGCAUUGCUCCAAAAAAGCAAACUCCCUAAACUUGUCAAGCCUCGCAGAUGAACUCCUCACAUACUUUGCAUAAUUCCAUAUCGUUUCAAUCCCAUUCUCCAACUCCUUCAAACCGUCCUUAGCUAUUAAGUUGAUAAUAUGGCAAGCACAUCGUAAAUGCAAAUAUUCCCCAUCAAACAUCAAAGUCUUGUAGUCCCUCAACCUUCUUUUCAUGUAUUGCACGGCCACAUCAUUAGUAGAUGCAUUGUCGAUAGUGAUGGUAAAGACUUUUGAGAUCUCACAUUGCCUCAAACACUGCUCAACAGCUAGCUCUGCCAAUAUCUUCACCUUUAUGACUGACAAUUGGACAAAAGUUUAUGAUUCUUUUGUGCAAUUUCCAGUCAACGUCCAUAAAAUGAGCUGUAAGAACCAUGUAGUUGAUGUUUUAUAUCGAUGUCCAAGUGUCCGUGGUGAUCGAUAUUCUUGUGGCUGCUGCCUUCAAGCCACUCAACAAAAGCGCUUUCUCAUGAUUGAACUUAUCCAACACACCCUUGGCAACCUGCUUUCUAUUUAAUAUCGUCCACUCCGGUUUUAAUUCAUAGACAAAUUCCCUAAAACCCUCCUUCUCCACAAACCUAAAGGGUAGUUCAUCCUUAAUUAUCAUCGCUAUGCACUUAUCAUCACACCUCUUUCGGUUAUACUUAUGAUAAGUUCUUGCUCCACUCACAUUAUCUACGGACAACUUGGACUGUUUGGGAUCAGAAUCAACAAGUUUGGGAUGCAACGGGUGUUCCACACAUCUCUUGUUUACAUGAGACCACAUUGAGGUUGUCCCAUUCCUCUUAACUACACACAACACUUCCUCACUACAAAUGUUAUAGGUGCACCACUCCGGAUCGAUUUCAUCUGAGUUUGGGAACUUACAUUUAGUAAAGAAAGAGGACUUUUGUUGGCUGGUUCUUUUCGUUUCUGCCCACAAGAAGAUUGAGGUUGUGAGCUUUGUGGCCGAGUUUGAGGUUGAGUUUGAGGUUGAGAUUGAGGUUGGGAUUGAGGUUCAGUAAAAGGUUAAGGGCGCUGAGGUUCAGGGGGAGGUCCUAAUGGGGAUGUGUGUAAGGAUGCAGUUCCCUCUGCAUUUGCGGUUGAUUGAAUAGAUGAAGAUGAGCUACUAGUCUGACUACUAUGAAUUUGGAACAUUGUUGUAUCCAUUAUGAACAAAUAAAAAAUAAAAAAACAAAGAACAAAAUUUCAAUUUCAAUUUCACAACUCACAAGAACAACAAUCAACAAAUAAAAACAAAAUUAAAGAAUAGAAAGUUAGAGACUCAGACCUUGUCUAGCUUGCACGCCAACUCCCCCAAGCCCUUGCCUACCACCUGCACCCCUACCAAUUACGCUGUUGCUCAUCAUAACCCUUUGGCGACCCAUUUGCUUCGAUUCAGAGAGUCGGAGAGAUGCGAUGAGGGAUUGAGAGAUUGAAAGGAAUGAGAGACUGAAUGGGAGAGACUAAAUCGAGUGAAUGAGAGACAGAGAGGAGAGAGAGUGACUGCCUAUUCAUAUUAGGUUUAGAUUUCAACGGUUAGGAUCCAUUCUUCUUGAAAUCAACGGCUAAGAUUAGAUGUUUUUUUUUUAAUAUUAUGAAAAACUCGGUACGGUACGGUACACCGUAUUUGUAUAAAACCCAAUACCGUUACUGUACCACGUACUACGUACGAUAUGGUACAACCAUCCCGAAAAGUUGGUAACCGACUAUGUCGGUAACCGAUUACGACGAUUCGGCUGGUUUGUCGGCUGGUACAGUUGGAUUGGGACAAAAUGUCAGCCCUAACUAUUGGGGCUUGCACGUGUUAUCCUUGUGUUGCACUACAACAAGGUUUGGCACACCCUACCAAAUAAAGUUCAUGAUUGACAAAAAAAAUGCCACACAAACAAGCUAGUGAUAUAUUGGUUCCCCUUGGAUGUGGCUUCAUGCCAACAUAGAGUUGUUGCCGUAGCACCAUAAAGACCCCAGGCGUCGUCUGGAACUAAACCGGCCUACACGAACAAAGUCCGCCUACCAACAACAAAUGCUUCAUUAUCAUCUAGCUACCAUCCCGUUAAGUGUUUUUGUAGGAGAAUUCUAGCUACCAUCUCGUUAAGUUUUCAUCAUGGUGGGUAAGAUCAGAAGUUACAGACCUUUCAUAGUCAGGACUCGGCUUAACUAGGAGCUUAUACAAACAGGACUUGAUGCAUUAUAUGUUGGAUAUCUAAACUCUCAACAUACCACAUCGGAGAAUGAGUAAAACAAACAUAAGUGGGAGACAUAAGUAUGGAUGGUGGAGCGACAUUGAAACAUACUUACCUGGACGGGGUCGAUGGGCGAUCAUGAAGACUCAUGGCCUAGGCUAGUGACCUCUAUUGCACUUUGGAGGGGUGCUCGCUUAAGAUCUCCCCAAGCGGGAGAGUCUUCGUCAUAAUUUGUUGCAGGGGGGUUUGCGUUCGCGCAGCCCCUACAAUCUAAGUUUCAAUUUUGUAGUGCAAUUUUCAUUUGAAUUAUUGCUCUUAUUCAGUUAUCUUCGAUAAUUCUUAAUUACUGUUUUACAAUUUUAUUACUACAAUCUAAGUUUCAAUUUUGUAGUGCAAUUUUCAUUUGAAUUAUUGCUCUUAUUCAGUUAUCUUCGAUAAUUCUUAAUUACUGUUUUACAAUUUUAUUAUGUUUGUGUUAAUUCUAAACCCCCUUUGUAGGGUAAUGCCCUACAAAUCUAGUACUGAAAUUCAGGGUAAUGCCCUACAAAUCUAGUAUUGAAAUUCUUUGUUUUAGUAUCUUUUUACUGAGCUCAGGAUAUUGGUUUAGGCCAUCCAGAUGUUACUUUGCUUCUUAUAAUGUAUAUAGAGAUGUCUUUGACUGGAAUGAUGAUGUAGUAAUUUAUGGAGCAAAAUCUGUCCAAAAGAAAUUAUUCUUCAACCACAACACUCGUUGCUUUAAGUCCUCAAUCCUCAUUGUUGAAACACUGCCGCUGUGAAUUUACAGAGCAGCCUUCAAAAUCUUAUGGGAGCUUGAGAGAUAGUUCAAAAGCCCGAGGGAUAUCUACUCAGCUUAAGAUUAACUCAUACUAGGCCUUUAAUUUGUUUUAUCGACGGUGAUAAUUAUUUGUGCACAUAAAUAUGUAUUCAUGAAGUGAUAGUACCUCACCAAUUAUCAGUAUAUGUUUGUAUAUAUAGCGUUGUAGUCCCCAAUCAUAUGAGAAAAACACAAAAAUACAUAAUGUAUAAACAAGGAGGGGUUAAGACUUGACACUCUUUGGCCUUUUAGCUAAGAUCAAGUGUCAGUUUAAUAUCUAAUUUGUAGACUAAUGAUUCAGACGAUGUUAAAUUAAUUUUGUUUUGCUAUUAGGGUUCACACGUGUUAUCAUUGCCUUACACUACAUCAAAGUUUGACGCACCCUACCAAAUCAAGUCCAGCAUUGUCAGAGAAUGCAACACGAACAUGUAAGUGAUAUAUUGGAUCCCCGUGAUCUAGUAGCUGGCCGCGCAUGGAUCGCUUGAAUGAUGCGCUUCCUGAAUAUAGAAAUUGCUGAACUUAGUUGAUUAUAAAUGGAGGCUUAUAUUGACCAUGAAUUUCAUGAACUUAAUUAGUCGAGUAUAAAGGCGCUUAGAGUGCUCUUUGGGUCUAGCAAAUAAGUUCUGAUUGAUUUGUAUUGGCAUAAAAGUUUUUUGUGCAAUUCCAUAGUAUAUGUAUAGACGAUAUAGUUUACUAAUAUUAAUCAGAAGUGCAUGUCAUAUAAUUUUCUUGUUUCUUAACAUUUAAACUUGCAUCAGACAUCAAAUCAGUAGUGAGAUACUUAUCUAGAAAAAGAGUAGUACAACAUAGUCAGCUUGAAUAGCAACACGAACCAGGAGCUAGGUAAUAACUCAACUAUAUUUUGCAUAACGAGUAAUGUCAUCCUUUGUUGCUAUAUGAUGUUCGUAGAGCGUUUAUAGAGUGUUCUGAUUAUCCGGUUUCUAGAGCGUUUAUAGUCCCACAUCGACCAUGUGAGAAAAACACAAAAAUAAAGAAUGUAUAAAAAAUACAAGGGGUUUAGCUUAACACUCAUACCUUUCUCGGCCUUUUGGCUAAGAUCAAGUGUAGUAUCUGUUCUUAUCAGUUUAAUAUCUGAUAUGUGGACCAAUGGUUCACACGAUAUUAAAUUAAUUUUUUAAAAGGGUGAGUCCAUCACAAUAGCUUGCUAUUGGGGCUUACAUGUGUCAUUCUUGUGUUGCACUACAACAAGGUUUGGCACACCCUACCAAAUUAAGUUAAAAAUUGGGCUAGAGCUUUGCCAUACUCGUGUCAUAUUCACUUACAAGAUGUUGUGAUCCUUGAAAGCAACAACAAGGUUUGGCGCACCUUACCAAAUUAAGUUCAAAUUAGGGCUAGAGGUUUGCCAUACUUGGUGUCAUAUUCAUUUACUUGAUGUUGUAUGAGGGUACUGAAGUGCAACAUAAUUGUUUUUUUUUUUUUUUUUUUUUCCAAUUACUGAUAGCACAAACUCUUUGUACCCUUUAUCUUAACAAACUAAGGGGGACGGGGAAUGGUCACACAUUGCUAAACCUAUUUUACUUUGGGAUUUAGGGUGGUCCAAUGUUGACAGAGAUCAUCUCGGAUAUGCCUAGUGCUUCUUCCUUUAUUUUCUUUAAAGAAGAAAAAUGGACUAAUUUCAGUUUACCCCUAUCAACUUUAGGUCGAUUAUCAUGUUAGUCCUGUUUCUUUCAAUUUCCUCAAAUUUUAAUUUUCAUCAACCGUGUCCAAACAUUCGUUUUUCAUCUAAUUCUCCUAUCAUGUAAUGAUUUACAUUAAGAAAACCAAAUUUGAAGUCAUUGAGCCCACAGAAAAGGAGCAAAAUAGACAAAUUGCAUUCAAUCCCACCAAAAUCAGUAAGGUUAGGGGGUUGUGAUGAGUACGGAAAUGUGUAUUGAUAUGGAAGAAAAAUAGUUAGAAAAGGUUUUUUUUUUUUUUUGUUUUUUUUUUCAAAAUUUGACUUUCUUCUUGAUGCCACAGCAUCACUUUAUGGAGAAAUCGGAUGGAGAAAGGAGGUUUGGACACAGCUGAUGAAAAUUGAGAGUUGAGGGGUGUUUUGAUAAAAUUGAAAGAAAAAGGACUAACGUGAUGAUCACAUCAUCAUUUUACGGAAAAAUUGGAUGGAGAACGGAGGUUUGGACACAGUUGAUGAAAAUUGAGAGUUGAAGGGUGUUUUUGAUAAAAUUGAAAGAAGAAUGACUAACAUGAUGAUCGACCUAAAGUUGAUAAGGGUAAAUUGAAAUUUGUCUAAAAAAAUCAAACAAUCCAGUCCAAUCCAGUAGGACUGUAGGAGAGUUCAUAACUUGUUGUUUGAAAAAGGUGGCUUGCAUAGUAUAUCUUAGAUUUCACUCAACUGUUGGAACAUGUGAUUGAGCUUUAUUCGAUUCUACCAUCCCAUUAAAUUAUCAUCUUGGCGGGUGUAGUAAAGUUUAGAAGUGCAGACCUUUCUUAUUUAGGAUUCGGCUUAACUAAGAACUUAUUCAAACAGGACUUGAUGCGCUUAUUAUGAAUUAUAUGUUGGAUAUCUAAACUCUCAACAUACCACAUUGGAGAAUGAGUAGAACAGACAAGAGUGAGAGAGAUAAGUAUGGAUGGUGGUGCAACAUUGAAACAUACUUACCUGGACGGGGUCAAUGGGUGAUCAUGAAGACUCAUGGCCUAGGCUAGUGACCUCCAUUGCACUUUGGAGGUGUGCUCGCUUAAGAUCUCCUCAAGAGAGAGAGUCUACGUCAUAGUUUGUUGCAGGGGGGUUUGCGUUUGCGCAGCCCUUAAAAUUUAAGUUUAAAUUUCUAUCCAAUUUUGAAUUAACCCCUAAAAUUUAAGUUUAAAUUUCUAUCCAAUUUUGAAUUUUUUGUAUUACAAACGUUUGUUUCAUAGCUGAUUAUUCUUAGUCACUGUUUUACGAUCUAAUUAUUUUUAUGUCUGUAUUGAUGUAUCUCUCUAAUGUUGAAAAGUGUGCGGAAACAGCUUUUCCCAAAUCACUGGUGGUGAAAACAGUUCAAUCCAAGGACGAGGUCUUUUAUGAUUCGGCUAAAAAUGGCUACUGUGAAACCUAUCAAGGGUGAUGCCUUUCUGUUCUUCAAUCUUCUUCCUGAUGCAAAUAAUCGAUCCAAACAGUAUGCAUGGGAGCUGCCCUGUCAUUGAGGGUGAGAAAUGAGCUGCAACCAAGUGGAUUCAUGUGAGAUCCUUCAAUAAUUCAAUAGAGAAGGUUGCAGAUGCCUAUAGUAUUCCACGACGGCCGACUGGUCUAGGAACCAACUCCGGUGAUGGCUUAAGGCUCUUGCUGAGUUAGAUUGGACUAAUUCAAUACGUAGCCACUGUAGGAAGACUACAAAACGACUCGUACAUAGAUAGGAAUUUGCCUAUACUACGAUGUGAUGAUGGCUUAGAGAACAGUGAUCAAAAUCCUUUAUUUUUUUAAGGGUGAAAGAUUUGGGGAUUUUAUUCCUUGCAUUCCCGGCUCCAGUAACUUUGAGUUAUGACUUCUGAGAGAAAUUUCAAAUGGAAGUUCUGUAUUGUUGGUAUUGUUUCAUGUAAGUAGCAAUGUAGCAUAAAGUCGAACUAAGAUUGUGAGUAGAUUAGAGACUAGCAGUACUUGUCAGAAAGUUAGAAACACAUCGUUAUAGAUUGCAUGAUGUAUUUAGUCUCAUCAUCAUAAUACAAAGCAGCUGUGACAAUAACCAAAUACGGAGCCAUGCGUUGAGCACAUAGCGAACUAUUCUUUUGCCUUUUACUAAAGAAUACCGUGUGCACAGCGCUUUUAGUGGCAUAUGCCAAUUUUUGAAGGGUGCAUCUCUGUGGGUGUCCCUAGAAAUUUAGUUGACAAAUUUCACUUUUUACAUCCAUAUCCUUGUCUGUUAUAGUGUUCAACUAGAUGAUGCCUGCGCGUUAUAGUGUUUAUGUCCGAUGCCAUACAAAUGUACAAAAUUUGGUCACCCUAUUGGAUUUGAUAUUUCUUGACAGCAUCAGCGCUUCACCUGUUACCAAAGAGUGAACAACUUGUCAGGUUACUUUUAUGUUACCAAAGAGUUAUUGUUCAGUCCACUCUGGCUGUCUUUUUUUUAAAAUCUUACAAAUGACUGCAGGAAAAAUUUAUAUCUCAUUGGUGCAAGAAAACAUUCUGCAAUUAAAGUAGCUCUCUGUAAUGCAGCAAAGUAUGUUGCGACUCAGUUGCAUAAAGAACGGUGCACAUUUUGUACAGGAGAUUAAUAUCUGAAAAAACAGAGGCAAAAUUGAAUUCUAGGCAUUUCAAUACAUUGUAUAAAUUUAAUUGACACAUUUCUAGAUGAUAUCCGUGCAGUGUUGUGGUAUGACGGAUAUUAACUUACUGUAACUGCUUUCGUAUUACUAAAUAAUUGGCACUGACAAUAAAAAUAGAUAGUACCAAAGCAACACACUAACAUUCUAACAUAAAGCAAGAACAGAGAUAAAUGAUAAAACAUACAUAAAGUUAAAACAAAUACAAAUAUCAAAUAUGAAAAUUUGUUGCACUAUCAGUAUGGUUGUUCCGAAAAUAACAAAUGGAAUGAACUGAAUCCAUAAAAUAGUUAGGCAUAUUGAUUUGAAUAAACUGACUUCUGUGAUUGUUAGGCAAUGCAAUACAAUGUAAAUACAUACUCAUGUUGAUGUAGUAUGAAUGUGAUAGGAUCACCUUCUGAAAUCUUUUAACUUGUAAAUCAAAGGACAAAUAUUUUAUGCCCUUCAGGUAUAUCACAUAACUAAUGCAGAGAUGUGUUCUGAAUUAGCUUCGGCCACCUUUGUAACACAAUAACAUUGAUAUCCUGGAUAGCCGAAAUUGUAAACCUAGACACUCAUCCCUAAUUUUAAAGCCUAAUCCCUAAGCUUGUGUUCCAUUUUCUUAAAUGAUCGAUUUGUAACUUUAUUCCCUACAUUCCUGUGAAACUAUUCUAUCAUUCUUGAGUUCCACUUUCUUAAAUUGUCUACUAAAACCUUUUCAUAAUACACUCCAUCAUCAACAAUUGUUUGCUCCUUUCUCAACUGAAUUUAAUGACAUACAUACUUGGUAACUAUUCCAAACACGAUAAUUGUGUGCCAAUUUUUCAUAUAAGAUGCGCUACACAACAACCUUUUUAAGAAUAAGACUAUUAAAUAGUAAGACAUGCACCAUAUAACCGACAAUUUUGGUCAUAUAAUGUUUUCACAAUAGACAAAAAAUGACACAUUUGUCAAGCAUGUUUUCACAAUAAAAAAAGAGAAUUCCUGAGAAACAAACAUGAAACCCAUCAUUUGACCCUCUAUAGUUGGAUUAGUUUCUGCUUUUCAAAUCACAUUUUUAUCACUCAUGAGCAUAUGUUUUUAUCCACGAUAUUGUAAUUUUAUUACACACAUUAUCAAUAACACAUACUUCUCGUCCCUACUGAUAUUAUGUCUCUACUGAUAUUAUAACAGGUUCUUUACUAAUUGCCAAGAUUCAAUUGUAUUGACCCCUCCUGCUACCAAACUUAUCCAUCCCAGAAAUAGAAUAUGAAUUGAACAACACUGACACUUGUUUUCACUAUUUCUCUUCUUUCUGAACAACUCAUUCAAAAAAUGAGUUUCAUUGAUAACAGUUCUUGCCCUGAAAUAUAAUGACCUCUUAUAACAAAACAAUUUCAUAGUAGAUCCCAUCUAUGUCCCAGUAUGUUCCAAUCAUACUAAAGAAAUUUAGAUCCUGUCUCACUUUUUAAAAAGAAAUUCUAUCAUCUCUUCAACAUCACAUGUUCAUUAGUCAUUGCCUAAACCCAUUGAUCAUAAAAAGAUAGUCUUUGUUCUCCCCAUAUUCAUAUCCAUAACAUAUGAAAAUAGAACUCUUUUUACCAAUAUUUUUCAAUGCAUCCCAAAUAGUCUCAUUAUUCUACAUUGUAACCAAAUGUCCAAAUAUUCUUUUAUCCAUUUUGCUCCGAUCUCAGCACACUUUACUCACAGUCAGAAAUUAUUAACUGAAGUAAUCGGUCCGCACUUUCUUUAAAUAUUUAAAUAUAUAAACAACUAAACAUCGUAGGAUCAUUUUUAGUUUCCUUAGGUCGAGAUCAUGACAGAAGGAAUCAAAGUUUGUUCCCAAUGUUUUUCAAAGCAUCUUAAAUAAUCCAUUGCUUUCAAAUUGAAAUCAAAUAUGGCAUUUUUUUAUUUCUAACUUGUAUCAAUUUUGCUUCAAUGUUACACGGCUCUCAUUCAUUCACAAAACAUAUCAACCUACUCUUGUAUAAAUAUGCAAGUCUCAUGUACAGAUUUAUGACAUAAGCAACAAAAUUGAUCCUAUCCUCAGACAGUUGGAUUCUAAUUGCAACCAAAUACCCCAUUUUUAUUCCUUUCCCUAAUUCAAUGUGACAUACCUCUCAC